UUGAACAGAGAAUGUUAACGAUCCCGCUUUCGAUUUGAACCGAGGAUGUUAAUGAUACCCGCUGCUAGGGUACUCCGGUCUUUCAUAGCUCUUUGUAAAGCGAGGGCUCUACCAUGGAAACUAUUUCCUGUCUAUAUUUAGCAAUGGUAUAUUAAGACUAAAUCAUUAAUUAAAAAUAAGUUAUAUUUGUAUUAAGUUUAAAAUUCCUAAUUUAAUGAAAGAAAUUGAUUUACUUUUAGAAAAUCUUUUGAUCAUUUUUCAAAUUAUUAUGUAAUUAAUGAAAAAUUGAUUAAAAAGCCUUAAAUUAAACAAAAUCAAAAUAUAGAGUAAAUAUAUGUGUUAAUUUCAAUAUAAUUAAAGAAAAAAAAAGUAAUUUAUCUUAAUAAAAAAUAUAAUUUUUUAAAUAAAUAAAUUCGACGGCGACGGCAUCUUAGUCUACCUUCUGUUUAUUUCCCCGCGACACAAACAGAAUACCCAUGAAUCUAUGCCAGCAGCAGCCAGAAGCAGUAGCCGGAGAUGCCUCAUGCUUUUGGAGAAAUGCAAGAGCAUGAAGCAGCUCAGGCAAGCACAUGCUCAGGCAAUCACUUGUGGCCUCGCUAACAAUUCCUUUGCUUUAAGCAGAAUUAUAGCCUUCUGCUCUGACCCACGUUAUGGGAGCCUUAACCACGCCUGGAAACUCUUUCAACAUGUUCAACAGCCUACUCUUUGCAUUUGCAACACCAUGAUUAGAGCUUUCUUGCUCAAAGAUGAACUCACCAAUGUCUUCAAUUUGUACUCUACUAUGCUCCAGAAUGGGAUGUCCCCUGACAAUUAUACUUUGCCUUGUGUGUUAAAAGCCUGUUCAAAGUUGCAAUCUUGUUUUCAUGGUGAGUUAUUACAUGGGCAUUGUUUAAAAUUAGGUUUUGUGAUUAAUACUGUUGUGGGUAAUUCUUUGAUGUCAAUGUACUGUGGGUUUAGUAAUGUGAAGGCAGCGAGAUACGUAUUUGAUGAAAUGCCUAGUCCAUGUGCUGUGUCGUGGACAUUAAUGAUCUCUGGGUGUGCUAAAGUGGGUGAUAUUGACUCUGCAAGGUUGUUCUUUGAUGGAGCUCCAGAGAAGGAUAGAGGAAUAUGGGGUGCCAUGAUUUCUGGUUACGUGCAAAACAACUGUUUCAAGGAAUGUUUAUAUAUGUUUAGGCUGAUGCAGAUGACUGAUAUGGUUCCAGAUGAGGGUAUCUUUUUAAGCAUACUUUGUGCUUGUGCUCAGUUAGGUGCUUUAGAUACUGGAAUUUGGAUUCACAGAUAUUUGGACAGAAUAGGACAGCCAUUGAGUAUCCGCUUAACCACGAGUCUCAUUGAUAUGUAUGCAAAGUGUGGGAAUUUGGAUUUAGCCAAGAAACUGUUUGAUGAAAUGCCUCAGAGGGACACAGUUUGUUGGAAUGCCAUGAUUUCUGGUUUGGCAAUGCAUGGAGAUGGAGAGGGUGCACUUAAGUUGUUUUGGGAGAUGCAGGAGGCUGGGUUUAAGCCAGAUGAUGUCACAUUAAUGGCUGUGUUCUCUGCUUGUAGUUAUUCAGGCAGGGCACAUGAAGGUUUAAGAAUAUUAGAUAGAAUGUGUAAUGUGCAUAAUAUUGAGCCCAAGAGUGAACAUUAUGGGUGCAUGGUUGAUCUGCUUAGUAGAGCAGGCCUCCUUCAAGAAGCAAAAGAAAUAAUCCAAAGAAUGCCCAAUUCAAGAAGCUCCUCUGAAGAAGCAAUAGCUUGGAGAGCAUUACUAAGUGCUUGCUGCAACCAAGGACAAGCCCAACUGGCUGAGGUUGCAGCUGAGAGACUUCUGCAAUUAGAACUUCACAGUGGAGCAUAUGUUCUGCUUUCAAAUUUGUAUGCAACCGCCGGGAAACAUAAUGAUGCGAAAAGGAUAAAGAAGAUGAUGAGAAACAAAGGGGUAAACAAGGCACCUGGCUGCAGUUCAAUCAAAAUUGAUGGCAUUGUUCAUGAGUUUGUUGCAGGAGAGAAAACACAUAAACAAAUGGAAGAAAUAGAAUCUGUUUUGGAGAAGAUGAAAAAGCAGUUGAACUAUUUGGGUUGCAACCCCUACCCAUUUCUGGUUGACCAAACAUGAAGCAUUCACUCUUCAAUAUUAAAGUGAUUCUCUGGUAAAUAUUCUUGUUCCAUAAUAUUCUUUUACAAGAUACAAGUGAUUUAUAUAGUUAAGCUUUUUAGCUUAAUUUAGUAGACUUAGACAUGCUGAAGGGUAAACUCCAACGAUGGUGUUGGUGAAGAAUUUAUGGAGAACACUUGCUCUUAACAUUGUGAAACAUUUUAUAUGAAUUACAUGCACUAUUUGCAUCAUUUGGUUACAAAAAUGGAGUUAUCCAAAUUUGUUUAUAUAAAUAAUUAAUUAAAAAAAUACAAAACUAAAUAUAUUUGAGGACUCUCAAAUAUAGUAAUAAUAAUAAUAAUAAUAGCAAUAAUAAUAUGCUUGAAACAGAUUUUAAGAUGAAUUUUAAUCAUAUUUGAGACAAGUACUAGAUUGGAUAUGAUUUUUUGCAGCUGCCAUUCAUGUACAGUAGCAUCUUUCAGAGCAUUCAAAUCGAAAACGGUCUACAAAAGUGUGGCAUAUAGUUGCUUGAUUUAAAGAAAGAGAAAUGACACAAUUCCAUUGAUCAGCAAAACUUUUUGUAAAGCUACUAGAUUUUCUAUUUUCAUUCACAAGCACAAAAAUAUAGAUUUCCCGUGGCAAAUAUGAAUAUGAAUAUGAUCACAGUAUCCACAGAAUUAAAGAAUAGGUUGAUGUCUGCUAAACUAAGAAAUCUGCGUCAGAGACUUCAAGGACCUUAUGGACACCUAUUGGGUUUACACCUGGCUUGAAUGCAUUUCUUUCAAUAUACCUGCACGGGCAAUUAAUACAUUAUCAAAUCACUGCAUUCACAAUUUCAGAAUUGUUAAGUUCACAAGGCUGAAUGGAGAAAGAGACUCACAUUUCUUUCAAGUAUGAAUGUUUAUAAAAGGCAUCAGGAAUUCUCCCUGAAAAUUGAUUGUGAUCCAAGUAUCUGGAAUAACAUCAAGGCAAGCUUAAAGCAUAAAAGAAAGAAACCAAAAAAAAAAAAAAGAAAAUCUGUGCAGUAAAACAUCAAAACUUUCAACAGUGAGCAAAAAUGCACCAAUAUAUGUACUCUAAUAUUUUUCCCAACGAGCAGGAAGGAAUAAUCAAUCCACCUAACAAGGCAAGCAGACUUGUAUUUAUGUUGCUAAGAAUAGCCAUGGACAUUCUGCUAACCAUAUACAUAUAGCUAAGUGAAAAACAAAGAAUCAAGAAUUUGUAUCCUAUAUAUUCUCUACUAUUUUAAAGAAGAAUGUCAUAUAGCUAUGCAACAAUUCAUUUGGAUAUCAAGAAGAUAAAUGAUGAUCAGCAAAGUCUCCUCAAAACCCUGAGCAGGCAUUCACAUCAAUUUAUUAUAAUGUGGCUGUAAAAUAUCCUUAACAUCUGCCAUUAAUCCAUUAUUGAGUAUCCAAACUAAUGGGCAAAAGUGAUCUGUAUUAAAUAUUUGAAAGAAAAGGAGUAACAUAGGGAAACAAAAGGUUAAAGUGAUUUUUCUUGGAGAGUAGCUUUUCUUUUUCUUCAAAAAAAUGUCAUAGUAUGUUAUAUAUCAGUAAUUCUUUUUUUUUUUUNNNNNNNNUGUCAACCAAAGAAUACAUCAGUCAAUAAAAAAUAGUGUACAAAUGCUCCAGGAGAAAGCCAUAUCCAUUUUAAAUCCAACCCCCACCCCCACCACCCCCAUACCCAACCAGCUAACCAACCGAGAAAAGAAAAAGGGACAAAAAAAGGUGGAAGCAGUAAAAGGAACUUACAAGUGAGUCAAUCUAGGAAUAUGAGCAAGUCCAGCAGGUAUUAUUCCAGACAUCUUAUUAUAUGAUAGAUGCCUGUAACCAAUAAAGCCAUCAAUUACACAAAACUCAUUGUAAAAAAUAACGGAAAAAUCUAUCCUGGAAGUCAAUUCGUUUGUGCAACCCUUGCACAUUAAAUUUAGAAAAGUAAAAAAUAAAAGCAAAGCACUACUUAUCAAAUGGCUGCAACAACUGAAAAACAAAGUGUGAAAUAAUAAUAAUGAUACGAAAAUGAAUAAAACUCACAAUAUUUCUAAAUUGCUCAAGUUUGCCAGUUGUGCAGGGACUCCUCCAGUGAGGUAAUUAUUACUUAGGUAACUGCAUAUCAUGGUCAGAAAUGGAGUUACUUAAAUUAGACUUUGUUCAUUCAGCAGAAACUAUCACUUAAAUUGUGAAUCUGGCAGAUCAUAUAAUCUUACAGGUUUCGAAGUGCAGGAAAGCAACCCUCAAAUCGUAUUAAUUCUCUUAUAGUACCCACCAAAUGAUUGCUGCCAACAUCCCUACACAUAUGGUUUCACAAUGAGACAUUAAAAUUAUAAUGAUAACCAUUACUAUACAAACAUUCAAAGGAUAAAAUGUUACAAGUGCCGAAGAUGUUGCAAAGUUCCCAACUCUGCAGGAAUUCGCCCAGAAAAGCGAUUCUCAUGUAGGUAAAGAUACCGGAGUUCAGGAAGAUUAGCUAGCUCCUUCGGUAUUUCACCUUUGAAAUUAUUGAAGCUCAGGUACCUUCAAAAGGUUGACUCAUCAACUUUAAACAGAAUAAAAUUUUAAGAUUCGAAAUCAUGGCGGGAGAACAUCCAAUUUACUCACAAAUGGGUUAAACUCUUGAGUUCACCAAUUUCAGGAGGAAUGACAUCUUGCAGUUUAUUCCACCUCAAAUUGCUAAGAUAACAGCAAAAAAGGACCAAGAUAAUAAAUCAAACUUUGCACCAAUUAAUCAAACUGCUCUAAAGCUCAAAUGAAACACAAAAUAAUAUUAGUACAAAAGGAAGAAAAAGGGGUAUACAGUAUCUUAAGACGCUUCAAGCGCCCAAUUUGGGGAGGAAUAGGCCCUGUCAAUUUGUUGUUAUGCAGAUCCCUGUUACAAAGAAAGAUCAACUGAAGCAAGCAACAAAUCAAAAGAAAACACAAAAUAAAAGAAAAGGAAAAUCAUACAGUAUGGUGAGAUCCAACAGAUUGGUAACAGCAGUAGGAAACGGUCCAACAAUUGACACAGCAUAAACUUCCCUGUAAGCAAUAAUCAGGCAUCACUUAUUCCCUUUUAGCCUUGUAAUUUAAAAUUUUUCAAGUGUAAUUUGGAGUGAGAAAUUUACAAUGCAGUGACGACUCUAUAAUCUCCUUGAGUGGAGCAAGUGACGCCGGACCAAGGCGGAAGAUCGCCAUCACCACAAGGAUCAUCGCCAACCCAAGCGUAUACGACUCUCCAACCAAGCGAUGCCUUAAUCUCAUUCAAAGCCUUGACUAAAAAAGACAGAAAGCAAAAAUCCAGUGAAUAGCUUAAGGAAUUCUACAUUUGUGGUAUAGUAGCACAAGAAAGAAAGAGAGGUCUGGGGAUCUACCGUCGCGCUUGAGGGUUUUGGAGGAGGCGAGAUUCAGUAGCAGAGGGAAAAUUAGGAUCAAGAACGCCCAAUUUAAUAGAUGCGCCAUCUUCCCGAAGCUCCGAUCCAACUCCUAGUGAAAGUCGUUAGUUAAUAGCUCUUCAGUUUCAGCUGACGCUCAAUUGUCUGACGGUGGCAGAAGAGCAAAACGACGCGUUUUGGAUGGAUAUCCAAUAUUAACUUUUUUAAUUUUAGAGGUUAAAUUAAAAAUUAAAUAGAAAUAAAAAUACUUUUACAUGUGAAAAUUAAUAUAUAUAUUCUUAUAAUUUUAAAAUUAAUAUUUUAAUUUAUCAAAUCGAAAAUCUCUAAUAGUAUUUUAUUAGUGCUCUUAUAAUUUUUUAAACCUUUUUAUCAUUAAAAAUAUAACUAGUACAAGUUCAUGCUCAUCAAAAAAUAAAUUAGUAAUUAUAUUAAAGAUACGUUAUAAUUUAAUUUUUAUAGUUCAAUAAAACUUAAUUUAUAUUUUUAAAAAUCAACUAUUUAAUCUUUAUAAUUAUAAAAAUCAAUAAAUUAGUUUUAAAAAAUAUAAUUAAGUCAUCAUUGCUUUAUUAUUUAUUUAAAAACUAACUAAUGAUAUAUUUUUAAAUUACCAUAACAUAGGAAAUUAUAGAGAUUAUUAUUUAUAUAAGCACUAAUUUGCUAUAUGUAUUUAAAUUAUAAAAAUUAAAUAGUUAAAAUAUAUAAGAUUAAAAAACUAAAUUAUAAAUGAAAUCGACCAAUUCUAACUAUAUUUCUCACAAUAGAGACUAUUUUUUAUAAUUAUUUUAAAAUUUUAAAAAAAUUACUAUUUAAUUUCUAUAAUAUAAAAAAAUUUAUUAAUUAUUUUUUUAAUUUUAAAAAAUUACUAAAAUAUCAUUGAUAUUUUAAAAAAUUUAUCGUUAAAUAUUUUAUUAUUUAGUUUCUAUAAUUUUAAAAAAUUUAUUAAUUAAUCUUUUAAAUUUUUAAAAAAUUUACUAAUUAAUUUCUCCGUAUCAAGAACAUUUCAAAUUUUUUAAAAAUAUUUAAUAAUUAAAAUUAAUGAAAAAAAUUAUGAAUAGACUUUUUAAAAUGUCAAAAAUAUUUUAAUACAUUUUUCAAAAAGAUAAAAAAGUGAUUAAUAAAUUUUUAUUAUAAAAACUAAAUAAUAAUUUUUUUAAAAUAUUAAUAUAUAUAUAUAUAUAUAUAAAAUAUUAGUAUAGAUAAUCGAUUUAAUAGCCGUUAAUAUGUUAGUGAAAUGUUCCACAUUGAUCCAAAGAAUAAAUUCGGCUGAGGCUUCAAAAGAAAGCCUUUUUUUCUUUCCAUCCCUUAAAUUUGAAGAGUUGCCAAACAAGAUUCUCAUCCACUUUCUCAAAGCAAAAAACCUGCAGAAAAGUUACUACAAAAUCCACUUACCUUUUAUAAAUUAAAGAUGAAGAAUCAAGACACAGAAAGAAAAUCAAAGAAUACUUGUCUUGACAGAGCAGGCUUUUAAGAUCCAAAACAGGCUUCGCAUGCAAAGCAUAUCCAACUUUGCUUGCACUCUCUCCCUGAUUACAGCCAAUGAUCAACUAUAACAAACCUUCUUUCCUUUUUCCUGCAAAUAAAAACAGAGCCACAAAUGGGUCCAGGACAAUUCUCCAGGAAGUUAACAUUUCAUCAGGAUUUGUAAAUGGAGUAUUUGAUCAGGCAAACUAACAGGUGAAUGCAGCUGCCAGUUUUUCUUUGGUGCUAUUUUAUUUGUGUUCUUGUAAUUUGGUGACUAACCAAUUCUGUCAGGGCGAGAUUUUCAGGACAACAAAGCAUAGCAGGCCCUGGCAGCAGCAGCAGCAGAGAUAGAAGAAUACCUCCCCAGAAAACACCAUCCAUCAAAGAAGGUAAUUCUUAUGAUUCUUUAUCUCUAAUUCGAGCCCGUCUGGCAUUGUGGUUGAGGGACAUGUCGGCCAGGUGUAACAGCAUCGUGCUCAGAUCUCUUUGAACUAUAGCUCUUGGACUCCUACGCUAGAAGAAAUUGGAGUUGCAUGUAUGCUAACAUCUUAAAUUUUUAGCAUGUUGAUAAGCGCAUGAUCUUAUAAUUGAUAUCAUACCUAAGAUCAUGUGUUCGAAAUCCUAGCAGGUGUUGAGGAGAGAUAAAAACGCUAAUUCAUACGUCGAAAAUAGUUAUUACUUUAGUGAAAGUGUUUUUCUCGAUGACAGUUCCAACAGCAAUGCCGAAUGGACUUCACUAGCCCAUUACUAACAUAACCUUGGUGGAUUUUGCAGACAAAAAGAGACCUCAGAACUGGUUCCGGAGACAAACUGCUUGGCAGAUGAAUCGAGAUUUAGACUUAAAUGAAAUAGAGCGAGCAACUGCAAUAGCAGCUGCUGCAUAUGCUAUUUCAUCAUUGGAAGAAUCCAGCAUUCCAGAGCAGAAAAAGAUCAGCAAGGGCACUGAAACUUCUUUGCCUGGAACUAAAAGCAGAAAAAAAGGUAUAAAAACCUGGAAUUGUAUCUGAAGAGAUUUCAUUUGAAACUAAUUAUCAUUAAAUUGUCUAUGUUAUCAGGUGAAGAUUCAAUGAGAAUUCCAGAAAUCCAGGAUGAAAAAACACCAGCAAAGGUUGUUCGUCCUACUCCAUCAAUGAAAAAGACUCCAACUUUUCCUGAAAAGCCUGCUCUGCCGAUGAAAAAAAUUCCAACUUUUGCUGAAGAACAGUUGAGCAGAACUGAUGAAAUACAGCCUCAAAGCCCAAAGCCAAAACCUGAUAUGCCUGCCAAAAAACCUGAAGCGGCAGUGUCAAAACCUGAUCAGGCUGCCACUACUAAACCUGCAGCUUCCCCGGCGAAAUUCGACAGGCAGACUUCAAUAAGACCUGUAAUCGGAGGAACAAAAGCAGAUACCUGGGAAAGUGCUGAGCUGGCCAAGAUAAAAAAGAAGUACUGCUUCAUUUUGAGAGAUUUUCUUUUUCCAAUUAUAAGCAAUUUUGAGUCAUAAAUUCUACUAAUAAAUAAAAUCUUCAGGUACGAGGAAAUGGAAGCCAGAAUACUUUCCUGGGAGAGCAAAAGAAAGGCAAAAUCCAGACGUCGACUGGACAGAACAGAGGUUUGCUCCACAAGGCUCCGUUUGGAAUUAAGAAUUUUGCAAUAAUUUAAUUCGAUUUCUUUUCUAACAAUUUUGAAUUCAAAUCUGAACCUAAAAAUUGAUACCCAUCUACUGGAUCUGCAGAGUGAAGUGGAGAAGACGAGGUUAAAAGCCUUGGAAAAAUUUCGCAGUGAGGUAGUUGACAUCAAUGAGAUUGCUGAAGGAGCAAGAUCAAAGGCAAUGGAAAAUAGAAGAAAUGAAGAGUUGAAAGCAAAAGAUAAGGCAAAUAAAAUUAGAGUAACAGGAAAAGUUCCUACUGCAUGUUUCUGCUUCUGAAUCUAACCAUUGUAUAGCUUCUUUAUCUGGCAUGAGGAAAAAAAACUCUGAACUUUAUCAGUUAUCAUUUGUAAAUAAGCAUUUCUUGCAUAACUGUGUAAUGUUAAGUUGCAUUCAUCACAAGCAAUGUACAGACUUUAUUAUUGCUUGGUAAAGCACAUGCUUUUGAAAUUGAGAGAUUGGGAAGAUGAUAAAAUUUCAAUAAUACAUCUGUAAUUUAAUUGAUGAAAGGAGACAAAACGUCUGUUUAACUCAGGCCCAACAAUAGCGAAGUCUAACUCAGGUUAAUCAGAUCAAUAAAAUCAAACCCAAGAAAUUCAAAAGCCAAUCAAACCAGCAACCCAAUCAAUUCCAAUCUAGGAACCCUAGAAGCAAACAGCCUGCAGCAACAAUAGCCACCUGAGACCAAUUCCUCAUCAUCACUAUGUAGAAAAUGGCAAGAAGAAAAGAUAGGAAGGGGUAAAAACUCCACUUGUUUUUAGUCAUUCUGUGCUCAUACACUCUAUAAAGAAUAAAAGAAUGCAAUUUGGAGAAUUCUUAAUUUAUUGCAACAGAAAUUUAGGGCUGGAAGAAAAGAAAUGAAAAAUACGUGUUGUAUUAAAACGUUGCCGUGGAGUCAGAAAUAUGAAGUGAAGCGUUUUGACAAACACAUUGUUUUAAUAUAUCCAACUAACUAGAAAGGUUUAAAAAUAAGCAUUAUUCAAUUCAAAUCGAAAAAAUUAAUCGAAUAGAAUUAAUUUAAAAAUUUAGUUUGAUUUUUUUAUUUAUUUCGGUUGGUUUUGAUUUUUAACUUUUAAAUUUUUUGAUUAUUUCAGUGUGAUUAAAUUUUAAUCAGAAAAAAUUAAAAAAAUUAAAUUAAAUCGAUUAAUUAUAAUAAUAUAUUAUUUUUAAUAAUAUAAAAAAAUUAAAUUAUAUUAAAAUUAAAAUAUUUUAAUUAAAUUUUAAAAUAUUAAAAAUAAAAUAUAAAAAAAGUUAUUAAAAAUUUAAAUCAAUCGAAUCAAAUUAAAUCAAUUUAAUUUAAAUUAAUUUUUAAUCAAAAUUAAUUCAAUUUAAUUUUUAUAAAUAUUAAAAUUUUAAUUUUGAAUAAAUUUUUUAAUUUAUUCCGUUGAGUUGAUUUUAAAUCAAACCCAUCGAAUCCCCCGCCCUCCAAGAGCCGCACCAACUCCGGGUAAUUUGCAUGCAUCAGCAAUCAAAGCCGAACACAAAACAGAGAAAACCAAAGCAGCAGAAAGCUUGUAUUUGAGAAACACGAGUACCGAAAAGGUGAGAGGAGAGUUCAACUUGGGAAAACCAAACCACCGGCGUAAGGGGGUUCAAUCCCGGAAAUUCACCCAUCAAACAUAUGCAACAACCCUCCUGAUGGAAACCACUGCAAUUCUCUGGAGACUCUAGUGCAAAAGCCAAAUCCAAAAAACCCUCUACCAAAUAAAUUCGAUUUGAAAAAAACUGCACCAAAAGAAAAUAAAGGAAAGCAAUAAGAAACAAACAUAACAAACACACUAACAAAAGGAGGGUCAUCGACACAUGAAGAAAAUCAAAACAGAUCACGAAACAAACAAGUCUUCUCUUGCCGUCCGAAAAACCAAACAACAAUCUCAAGAAAACAAGCAAAAAAUCCUAAAAGAAGAAACCAAAACUCCGCAACACACCGUCGUCGACCUUGAUCUCCGAACUCUCUUUCUCCUUCCCUAUCUCUUUCUCUUUCCUCAGAGCUUCUCUCUUAUUCUUUUGCUUUUCCCUCCCCUGCCCUUUUUCUUCUGUUCAAAAUUUUUAGUUGUUGUUAGUGCUUUUCUGAAAAGCAAUUUUCUGAUUAGAAACUGAUGCAGCUUUUCAUAUUUUUUUAAGGGUGUAAUAAUUUUAAAACAUUACCAGUGCUUUUAUUGAAUCAGAUUUUGAUAUAAUUGAGGAGAUUUAUAAUUUAAAAUUUUAUUAAAAUAUUUUUAUAUUUUUCUUUCUAUUUAUGGUCUCUUUUUACCGUUAAAAAAAUAAUAAAAUAUUAAAUUAUCUCUUCUUUUCCUCUUUCUCUUUCUCUUUGUUUUUUUUUUUGUCAAUUUUUUUUUCUUCUUUUCUUCCUCUUUGAGCAGGGUGAACUAUUUUAUUGAUAAAAAAAAAUAAUAAAAAUAUUUUAAUAGAUGUAAGAAAAGAUAGAAACUAUUUAGUUAACGAAAAAAAAAACGAUACUGACAUUUUAAUAAAUAUAAAAAAAAAUAAUAAUAUUUUAAUAGAUUUUUAAAAAUAUUGAGAGAGAUAAUUUCAUUAACGGAGAAAAAAGAUGAAGAUGGACUAUUUCAUUAACAGAAAAAAAAUGAUAAUGACGUUUUAAUAAAUAUGAAAAAAAAUAAGGUCUAUUUUAUUGACGGAAAGAAACGAUAAGAAUGUUUUAAUAUAUAUAAAAAAAAUAAGAACGUUUUCAUAGAUUUUUGAAAAUGUAUAGACUGAUUUGUUUAUAAUAACAAUAUCUAAGAACUAAAUAAAAUAUUUUAUUUGAGGGUAAAAUUAAAUUUUAAAAAUUUUUUUAUUUUUUAUCUAAUUUUAACUAUUUCAUUGAUGGGAGUACUAUUUCGUUGAUAAAAAAGAUAAGAACGUUUUAAUAUAUUUUUAAAAAUAUAGGGAUUGACUUGUUAAUAAUGAAAAUAUUCAGGGAUUAAAUUGUAAAUCUUUCUAAUUUUAAUAAUUAAUAUAUAUUUAUAACUUUUAUAUUUUAUUUAAUAACUUUAUAUUCUAAUGCUAUUAAAAUAACACUUAAACAGUUAAAUUUUUAAAAUUAUAAGCACUAAUAUGUUUGUUUUUGUUCACUAUAUUUAUUUAAUAAUACUCUUUUUAUCCUAUAAUUUUUAUUUUUUUGAUUAUCUCAAAAUUAUUAUUAUUAUUUUUAUUGACUAAUAAUAUAAAUUAAUUAUUAUAAUUUUAUUUUAUUUUUAAAUUUUUUUUAUAUUUUUUAAUAUUUAAUAAAAUUUAAUAUUUUAAAAAUGAACACAAUUGAAAAAUUAAUAAAAAAAUUAUUUUUAUUAUUAUGUGGCGAAAAAAUAAAGUGAAAAAAAUUAUAGGAAAAAGUAUUUUUAUUUUUAUAUUUAUAAAAUGAGACUAAAUAUCAAUUGGUGAAAAAAUAAACGAGGAUUACAGUAAUGUAAUGAUAACAACUUAUACAAUCUUUUAUAAUAAAAUUUAUUAAUUAAUUUAUUAAUUUUAAAAAAUAUAAUAAAAGGUCUUUGAUUUUUUUAAAAUAUAUUAAUUAAUUUUUUUAUUAAUUUUAAUUUUUAAAUAUUAUAAAAGAAUUAUAAUACAUUUAAUAUAAAAAAUUAAUUAAUUGAUUUUUAAAAGACUUUAAAAACUAAAUAAUAAAAUAUUUAACCAUUAAAAUUAAUAAAAUAAUGAAUUAAUUAAUUUUAAUUUUUUAAAAAUUAAUUAAUUAAUUCUUUUAUAUAAAAUAUUUUAAUUUUUUUUAUAAUAUUUAAUAAUUAAAAUUACUGAAAUAAUUAAAUGAAUUUUUUAAAAUAUUAAUACUAUUUUAAAAUAUUUUUCAAGACAGGAAGCUUAUAGCUUCAAAUCUACUUGUCCAACAAACACAAAAGCAAUUUUCAAAAAGAAAUUCAAAAAAAAAAAAAGAGAGAAAAACAACAAACAAACACAAAGGCAGGAGGAACAGCGAAAAUUUUAAUGCAGCAAGAAACAGUUGCCUCAUGUCUUCAAGUAAUCAUGACUAUGAUGUCCAUGAUCAGCACUAUGAUGACGACUGAGAGGUGGCAGUUGCUGAGUGGGAAGAACCGGCGGUGGUGGUGGUGGAAUGAGAGGAGUGGUAGUGCCGGAGAAAAUUCUCAGCCUUCCCUAGAUACCGUCCAAGACGUCUCCCCUCGAACUUGCGAGAGGCAGCUCCAACAAGAUUAGCUGCAGCGCCGGCAACCCUGCCCUUGUCUACUUUGUGACGUUCGUGGCGAAGUGAAGAUUUGGCGGCAUCAGCCACCAUCUUGGCAUUGGAUAUAAGCUCAGAGGAAGAUGGCCGGUGGUGGUUGGUGGAGUUGUUGCCGUGAGAAGCUGGUGAUGAAUCCAUGGAUGUUGGGAUUGGGUAGAUGAUUAGAGAUUAAACUAUAUACAGCUGAAUCAAGAAUUGCAGAGAAAAACUGAAACGACGAAGAUAUAUAUAUAUACACGUGGAUUAGUGGUGAUUUUUUUUUUUUAAACUCACUCUUCCAAACCAAUAAUUAUUUUUAUUAUUUUUAAAAAUAUUUAUCUACAUCCAUUCGUUAAUUUUAAAAGUUCAUUUUAAUCUCUAUAAUUUUAAAACUAUUUAGUCUAUUUUAAAAAUCAAUUAAUCAGUUAAUUCUUUAAUUUUAAUUAUUACAUAUUGUAUUAUUUAAUUUUUAUAAUUUUAAAAAUCUCAUUAAUUAGUACCGUAAAGUUUUAAACAGCUUAUUAAUUAGUUUUUUAUAUUCAAAAUAUUUUAGACAUUUUCAUAAUACUUAACAGUUAAAAUUAAUGGACAACUAAAAUUAAUGAAGAAAUUAAUUAAUAAAUUUUUUAAAAUGUUAAAAAUAUUUUAAUAUAUUUUAUAAAAUAGAGAAACUAACUAAUAAGUUUUCUCAUAAUAUAGAUACUAAAUAAUAAAUUUUUUAUCGUUCAUUGCGAAUAUACUCAUCAGACAUAUUAUUUCAUUACUAACCUAUUUUUAAAACUAUUAAUUAUUUUUAUAAAAUGUAUUUGAUAGAGUAUUAAUGUUAUAUGAGACUCGUUUAAAAUAAGCAGUGAGUUGUUAUCAUAAGACAGGGUCACGUGACUAUAUGCAAUCUCACUUGUUAAAAAGAUGACUUGCAGUUUCACUCGUUAAAAAGAAGAUUUGCAGUCUCAUUCAUUAAAAAGAAGACUCGUGCACUUCAGGACAUGUCGGCCUCUGAUUGGAUAGAAUCGCCCUCUCAACUUUAGGGUGAGUCUCCAUAAGAAAGAUAACGUUCAAUAGCUACAAUCCAGCAGAUCCUCUUUAUGCCUGCGAUCACGGGAUUCUCGAAGAAUUAGCCAAUGAAGAUCUCUUAUCAAGUAACUGACCACAUCGUCAUCAGAUUAUCAGAAAAUGCUAUAUUUAUAUCCACUUUCUUACAUUAUAAAAAGAGAAAGAUCAUAGAGACAAAGGUACGUUAUUCUCUUAUACAACUAUACUUGAGUUCUAAGCAUUACAAUAUUCUCACCAUUCUCUUCAACUUACUGAUUUGAACGUCGGGAUGGCUGCUGUAGGCGCUAACCACCUCACAUUCUCUGUCUUGCAGGUGACCAAUCACAUUCUCUUAUACAACUAUACUUGAGUUCUAAGCAUUACAAUAUUCUCACCAUUCUCUUCAACUUACUGAUUUGAACGUCGAGAUAGCUGUUGUAGGCGCUAACCACCUCACAUUCUCUGUCUUGCAGGUGGACCAAUCACAGCACAGCUCUUUUGGACCAAUCACAGCACAGCUCCAUUCUGACCACGUCAUUAAUUUAUUUUUAGCAAUAUCAUUUAGUUCUGUUGCUGGGAAUCCAUUGAAUUCUCUCCAUUCAUUUGGAUUAAAAUCGAUCUCUUAUCCCUUAUCUCUUAAAAAGAAAUCUCUCUUUUAUCUCUCGAAAUGGCCCGACAAUUCAUGAGCUGCUGCUAAGGUUGCUACCGAUGAGGAUGCUAUCAUUUCUUCACUCCUGGCAGUGGACAAGACACACCCUUAUGGCCAGCAAAGCUGAUCCCAACAAUAUGAGUAUUGAGUAAAUACUCCAGUAUGUCAGAAGAUUAUAGAUUAUUUUCGAGUAAUACAAAGCUCGAGAAGAGGCAUCGCUCAUGUCUCCCAGAGGAAGGGAGGAAGUCUCUGUUAAUACCUCAAGGCCUCGGACAGGAACAAUCCAGACGCGGUCCAAAGGGAAGAACAAGUUCAAGGAAGAGGAGUUAUCAGACGAUGCUCCGAAGGACGUUAACUGGAAGCUAGUACGGGCUACUCCAAGGUACCAGGGAGGCUAGGAAGAGGACAAAAGAACGAGCCAAAAAUAAGACCAAAAGCCAUAGAAGCUAGGAUACAAAGGAGAACAUAAAAAUUACUCAGUCUCCCGAGGAAGCGAUGACCAAAGUAAGUAUAAGAAUUGCACCCCAUUGAAUGACUCACGAAUGCAUAUUCUAAUGUGGAUUAGGAAAAACGACAAGAAGAUCAUGUGGCCUCUUAAACUCAACCCUAAGAAAGUCGAAAAAUGAGAUAGGACUAGGUAUUGCCAUUUUCAUAAAGACCACGGAUAAUAAUUAAGGAGCACCGACAAUUGAAAGACGAGAUCGAGAGAUUAAUAGAAAACGACACACUUUAAAAGUUCAUUAGAAAGAGUAGAAAAGAUUGAUGGAUCAUUCCAAAAUGAAUAACGAAAAGAAAAAGGCCAACUAAUUUGAUGCCAGCUAAUAGGAAAAGAAGGGGUUGGCCUCUUCGCAUAGAUCUGCUUAGGUCUGCCUUUCCACACAGGUCUACUUAGGUUUGCCUCUCUACACAGAGCUGCUUAGGUUGACCUCUCCACAGGUCGGCCUAUCCACACCGUCUUAUGGUCAAGAACAAAAACAUUGUCGUCUUGCUUCUAGUUAUAAUCUUUUCAAGUCCUAAACUCAAAGUAACAAUUUCCGAAACUACCCCGACAGUGAACAUGUGUUUAUUCAUACAAUUGUAGGAGGAUCGAGUGUUACUAGGGGUGACAAUAAGGAGAAUGUCAUAGAUGUCCAGCUCGUGGGUCAAACUUUGAGUUUUGAAAUUAGUCAAGUCAGACGAACGAGUCUUUUAUUUUAUCCUUAGAAAAUGUUUAUAAUAUAUGAAAAUAUUAUAAAACUAGAAUGCAUUCUUCAAGCUUAUUUUUUUAUAGGAAAAUUAUAAACGUUAGGUGGAUGAAAGCGUGAAGACCAGAACAAAGGUCAUAAUCCGGGCAUUGGACCACAGAAACACAUUCAUAAAACAACCACAAGGUCAUCCGGGUGUGGGUCUCGCAUAAGAAGGCAUCUCAUGCCAAGUCAUAAGGCAGUCGCCAGGCCAUAAUCUUAGCAUUGGAUCGCGGAUACACGUUUAUAAAAUAGCCAUAAGACCAUCAGGGCAUAGGUCCCACAUAACAAGGUAUCUCACGCCAGGCCAUAAUCUGGGUGUUGGACCGCAAAAAUACAUUCAUAACAUGGCCAUAAGGCGAUAUGGGCAUAGGUUCCGUAUAAUAAGGCAUCUCAUGCCAGGCCAUAAGGCAGUCGCCAGGCCAUAAUCCAGGCCUUGGACUGCAAAAAUACAUUUAUAAAAUGGCCACAAGGCCAUCCAAGAAUAGGUCCUGCAUAACAAGGCAUCUCAUGUCAGGCCUUAAGGCAGUCGCCAGACCAUAAUUCAGGCGUUAGACUGGGGAAACAUAUCCAUAAGAGGCCACAAGGCCAUCCAAGCAUGGGUCAUGUAUAACGAGGCAUCUCAUGUCAGGCCAUAAGUCGAGAAUCCAUCAGGUCAAAAGACCAGGUAUUAGUCCAGUUUCACAAGGUGUUUCUAAAGCAUUUCAUGCCAAGCAGCAAGUCGGGUAUGCGCCAGACUGACCAACCGGAUGUUAGUCCCACUUCACAAAAAGUUUCUAAGGCAUUUGAUGCCAGGCUGCAAGACGGGUAUAUACUAGGUCGACCAACCGAGUAUUACUCCCGCUUCAUAAAAUAUUUCUAAAGCAUCUCAUGCCAGGCCGUAAGGUGGGUAUAUGCCAGGCCGACCAACCGGAUGUUAGUCCCGCUUCACGAGAAGUUUCUAAGGCAUUUCAUACCAAGUCGUAAGGCGGGUAUAUGUAAGCAGACCAACCAGGUGUUAGUCCCACUUCAUGAGAAGUUUCUAAGGCAUUUUAUUAGUCUCACUUCAUAAAAAAUUUCUAAGGCAUUUGAUGUCAGGCCGCAAGGUAGGUAUACGUCCGGCCAACCAACCAAGAGUUAUUUCAGCUUCACAAGCAGCUUCUAAGGCAUUUGAUGCUCAGACCAUUAGGCGGGUAUGAGCCAGGCCACGCGAUCGAGAGCAUUGGUCCCAUCUCACAAAAAGAACCACAAGCAUGUGUCACUACUCUUACAAAUCACUUUCGAAAAUCUAAAACUUUUUGCAAAAGAGGAAGGCCCAUUAUAGGCAGGUAAGACUUUUUGACGAUCGACAAAGGCAGGUUAGGCUGCCAAGUGAGCAAAUGAAGUUUGCAAAGUGCUUGCAAGGACUAGAAAAAUGCCCAUAAGCUUUUCAGGGUUGAAAAAAUACAUGGAAGCCCGUUAGGACUGUAAAAGGCCAGGAAGUCUAUCAAGACUGUAAAAAGUUAAGGAGCUCGUCAAGGCUGAAAAAAUACGUGUAAGCCCAUCAGGGCUGUAAAAAGCCAAAAAGCCCGUUAGGGUUGUGAAAAAGCUAGAGAGCGCGCAAACGCUAGAGAAUGCCCAAAAGCUCGUUAAGACUAGAAAAUACCCAGAAGCUCGAUAGGGCAAGGAGAAUGCCUAGAAGCUUGUUGGGGCCAGAAGAUGCCCGGAAGAUCGAUAGGACUGGAAAAUACCUGAAACCUCAUGUGAAGUUUGUAAGAUGACCAAAAGCUCGUUAGGGCUACUCGGAGCUAAAGAAUGCCCGAAAGCACGUUAGAGUUCGAGAAUGCUCAGAAGCACGAAAGCUCGUCAGGGCUAGAGAAUGACCGGAAGCACGUCAGGGCUAGAAAAUGCUCGAAAGCACGUCAGGUCUUGAGAAUGUCCGAAAGCUCGUUAAGGCAUUACUAUAUCACUCGGAUCAAUUUUUUCCAAAUAAGAUCUUGGAUCUGACUGGUCAGCAAGGCAAGUAAGAAUAAAACAAGGAUAUCGUGCACUCAGCCCAGACAAACAAGCCACAUGACUCGAAUCAUGAAGACAACUGUGACCUUCGAAUCUAAAGAAUCGAAAACUAGCGGGGGACCUCUGAUGCUAUAUGAGACUCGCAUAAAGCAGGUAGUGAGCUGUCACCAUAAGACAGGGUUACGUGGCAAGGAUCUGAUAAAUCUAUACACGGUCCCACCUGUACAAAAGAAGACUCGGAUACUUCAGAUUGGCUUCAGGACAGGUCGGACUGACUCGCCUCUCAACUUCAAUGCGAGUCUCCAUAAGGAAGGUACUGUUAAACAACUACAAUCAAGCAAAUCUCCUUUACACCUGCGAUCAUGGAAUUUUUGAUCAAUUAGCUUCUAAAAAUUCCUUAUCAAACAGCUGGCCACAUCAUCAUCGAAUUAUCAGGAAAUGCUAUAUUUAUCUCUAAGGAUGGCAGAGGAUCAGGUAUUUUCGAGUACUUGAUCCAACCGAACCCUAAUAGGAUGGAUUUGGAUAGUUAUAAUCGGAUUUGAAACGGGUUCGGGUUUAAAAAAUAAUGCCCGUUGCGGGUUUGGAUCGGAUUCGAAUUUCAUGUAUAGGAUAUCCAUUACUCGAACCCGUUUAUAUAAAUAAUUAAUUUAAUAUAAAAAAUAUAUUUUACAAUAAUAUUUAUAAAUUUAUAUUUUUUUCUUUAAAAAUUAAAAUUUAAAUAUUUUUUAGAAAUAUUGAAUUUUUUAAAUGAAAAUUAUUAAUGAAAAAUAUUUUUUAUAUAAAUUAUUAAUUAAAAUAUAUAAGACUAAAUGGGUUCGGAUUUUAUUCGGAUAGUAAUAAUCGGGUUUGGGAUGGGUUCAAAUAGUUUAAAUUAAUUUUUAAUCGGGUUCGGGAUGGGUUCGAAUAUUACUAAUAUAACUCAGGUUCACAUAUUAUUAAUAUAAUUCGAAUUCCGAUUUUGGUAGUUUAAUUUUCACGGGUACCCUAUCCGUUUACAUCUUUAUUUAUCUCUAUUUUCAUACAGUAUAAGAGAAAAAGGAUCAUAGAGUCAAAAGUUACACUAUUUUCUCAUACAACUAUUCUUACUCUUGAGUUCUAAACAUUACAAUACUCUCGUUCUUCUCUUCAAUUUAAUAACUAGAGCACUAUUUUCUCACACAACUACUCUUGAGUCUUAAGCAUUACAAUAUUCUCGUUUUUCUCUACAAUUUAUUGACUUAAGCAUUAGAGUGGUUUGUCAUAGGCCAAGCACCUCGGGUUCUUUGUCUUGCAAGUGGAUAAUCACAAUACAAUUCCGUUAGACCAAUUAUAAUACAGUUUCAUUCUGACCACGUCAUCAAUUUAUUUUAAAAAAUAUCAAGUAUAUAAUAUAAAAUUAUAAAUAAGUUAUUAUAAAAAAAAAUAAAAUUACCUUCUAAUUAAUUUAGGAAUGAUAAAUAAAUAAAUAAAUAGGAAAAUUGUAGAAUGAUCUUUUAGGGAAGCUUCCUUUUCCGGUGUUAGGUGCAUGCUAUUGUUAGCUUAAUUCCAUCGUCUACACGUUUUUUUGCCAUGUUUCUAACGUCAGCUCUUCUUUAUUCCUUGGGUAUGCUUAAAAUUAUUUAGAUCUAUUUGUGGCUGCUUUUAUAAAUUUUUUAAAAUUAAUUUUAUUAAUAUAUUCUUGUUUUUGUUUUAUAAUUUUCACAAGACAAUUUGAAUAAAAAAAUUUUAAUUUUUUUAUUAUUUUACAAUUAAAUUAAUUUAAAUCUUUAAAAAUCAAUAAAAAAAUUACCUAGUAUAAUAAAAUUUAUAACUUUAUUUUGUUAUAUUUAUAUGAUAAGUACGUAAAAGAUAUUAAUAUAAAAAUUCAAAAUUUUUUACUAUGUUGUAAUUAAUUUAAAACUUCAAAAAUUAAUAUAAUUUAAUUUUAAAAUUUUAAAAUGUACUCUGUGCAAACAAACCACAAUGGACUCCAUUUUUUUUCUUUUAUUUCAAGUCUCUUAAUUUCUUUGUGUGUUAAUCAUGUAUGCUGCUGAGGAGGGUUUGUGCUUAUAUCUGUUGUCCUUAUGUUCUUGAGCAAUAUUAGAAUGUUUAAAAUUUGCAAGAUUAAUAUCAAAAUUAAGAACGAGCGCGUUUAAAUUGAAAAAUUAAACGAAUUAAAUUAAUUUAAAAAUUCGAUUUAAUUUUUUAUUUUUUCAAUUAUUUUUAUUUUUAAAAUUUUUGAUUAUUUUAAUUUAUUUCAAUUUUAAUAAAAAAAAUCGAUAAAAAUAAAAAUAUAUUAUUUUUUAUAAUAAAAAAAAUCAUAAUAAAGCUUAGAACAUCUAAUUAAAUUUUAAAAUAUUAAAAAUGAAGUAUAAAAAAAAGUUUAAUUUAUCAAAUCGAAUCGAAUUGAAUCAUAUUAAUUCAAUUCAAAUUGAUUUCUGUUUAAAAUCAAUUCAAUUUUUAUAAAUAUUAAAAUUUUAAUUUUUAAUUUAUUUAAUUUAAUUUAAUUUUAAAUUAAAUCGACCAAAAUGCUUACCUUAAAUAAAAUGAUUUUUUAUAAUAAAUAUAAUAAAAUUAUUAUAACUAGUAUCUCAUAAGUUCUUUAUUGUAAUGAGCAUGCGAUAAGUCGAAAGAACGAGUAUCUGAUAAGGGUUUUGAAAAGGAAGAAAUCAACCAAUACGAAUUUUUUAUAAUUUUUAUAAAAUUACUGAAAAAUACAGAGAUAGCUUAAAAUUGCGGUCUUUGCACCGAACCAAUCUGCGUUAAAGAAAAAUGAUAAGAUUUUAAAAAUUUAGGGGUAAAAAAAAAAUACUUUUUAGAUAUUUUAAAUUAAAUUAUAUUAAUUUUUAAUAUUUUAAAUUAAAUUAUAAAAUAAUAAAAAAUUUAAAAAAUUUUAUCAAUAAUAUUUAUCUAAAACAAAAUAAGUCGCAUAACAUUGCCACGUUAGUAAAAUAUCCUCUUAAUUUAAAUUUUAAAAUACGAUUGCAAUAAAAUUUACAAUUUUAAUAAUUUAGUAAGUUCUAAAGAUUUAAAUUAAAUCACAAAUUAGUAAAUAAUUUUAGAUUUUUUUAUAAAUAGAAAAUUUUUUAAAUAAUAUAUUAUUAUUAUAUAUAUUAAUUUAAAAUAACUACUAAUUUAAUUUAUUAUAUAAUAUUACAAAUUUAAUUAAUAAAUAAAGAUUAUAUUGAAUAUAAAUUUUUCCAAAUAUUAAUAUUUUAAAAAAUUCAAUUUUAUGAAUUUAUAAAAUAAAAAAUAAUUUAGACAAAAAAUAUAUUCAUCACAUAAUAAUAACAACGAUAAAAGUAACUGCUAAUUUCACGUAUUAAAAAAAACCAACUAUGGUGACGAUUACAGCCUCUUAUACUGAAAUAAAUAUUGAAUAUAAUUGAAUUUUAAUUGAAAAUUUAUAAUAUUUUAAUAUUUUUAAUUAAAAAUAUUAAUACAAAUAAAUUUGUAAUUAUUUUUAGUUGUAAAAAAUGAUAAAUAUAAUUUAAUUUUAGUAAAGAAUACAUUAUUAAUAAAUUAUAAAUUAUAAUAAUUAAAUAUAAAAAUUCAAAUGUUAUGGUUAAUUCCUUAUAAAAAUUCCUUCGUAUUGAAACGGUGUUUAAGGCUAUGACACAUUAAAUUUAAAUCUUCGUUACAGUCAAUUAUAUAAAAAUAAUAGAUAUAAUUAGAUGUGUCUUUAAUCGAUUUAAUUUAAAAUUGAAUCGAAUUAAAUGAAUUAAAAAUUAAAUUAAAUUAAUUUUAAAUAAAAAUUAAUUUAAAUUAAAUCGGUCUGAUUCAAUUCAAUUCGAUUUAAUCGAUUAAAUUUUUUAAUUAUUUUAUUUUAUUUUUUACAACUCAUUUUUAAUAUUAAUUAAAAUAUUUUAUCUUUAAUUAUAAUACCAUCUCUUUAUAUUAUAAAAAAUAAUAUAUUAUUAUCAAUAAUCAGUUGGAUUCGAUUUUGCUGAUUUUUUUUAUCAUUAAAAAAUUUUAUAAGAAUUUAAUUUUAUUAUUAUUAUUCUAAUAAUUUUAUUAUUUAAAAUUAAAAAUUUUAAUUUUUUAAUUUAAUAAUUUUUAUUUUAAAUUAAAAUCAUAUAUUAUUUUAUAAAAAAUUAAUUUGAUAUUUUUCUCAAAAUAUAAAUUAUGUCAGACCAAUGGUAUAAUAAUUUAUGAAAAAUUGAUUAUUAGACAUUUUCUUAUUAGACGAUCUUUAUAACUAUGAUUAAUAUAGUUAUCCGGACUUAACCACAAGCAUGUUUUAAUUAAUUUUUUAAAAUAAAAUGUUAAAAAUAUUAUUAAUAAUAAAAUCUAAAGAUAGAAUAAUAACUAAUCGUUUUUAUGAUUUAUUAUCAAAAAAAUAUUUUAAAAAAUAAUAAUUAUUAUUAAAAUAAUGUGAUAUGUUAUUAUGAAUGCUUAAAGGGUGACAACUUGUAUACUAUUGAAUAAAUUAAUGAGUAUGGAAAAAGAGAAAAUACAUGAUAAUAGUAAGGGCAAAAUGGGAAGUAAAAGACACUUUUGCUCAGGAACUCAAUUUCCUCUACAGUGAAAUAAGUAGAGUUGAAGGCUUCUCGUUUAGUAAAUAUAGCCAAUCAAACAAGACUUAUUUUAAUACUUUCAAAAAAGUUUGACUGUUCCGCAUACGAAAUUAGGAGUGAGCUUUUAAAAUCAAAUCGAAUUAAAUAAAUUAAAAAUUAAAAUUUUAAUAUUUAUAAAAAUUAAAUUAAAUUAAUUUUAAUUAAAAAUUAAAUUAAAUUAAAUUAAUUUAAUUUGUUUCGAUUUGAUUCAGUUUAAUUAAUUUUAAUUUUUAAUAAAUUUUUUAAUUUUUAUAUUUUAUUUUUAAUAUUUUAAAAUUUAAUUAAAAUAUGAUUUAAUUUAUCUAUAUUAUUAAAAAAAAUAUAUUAUUAUCACUAAUCGGUUCGGUUCGAUUUUUUUUAUUUUUUUAAUCAAAAUCGAACCGAAUCGAAAUAAUUAAAAUUUUUAAAAUUAAAAAUCAAACCGAACUGAAAUAAAUAAAAAAUCAAACUAAAAUUUUAAAUUAAUUUAAUUCGGACAAUUUUUUUAAUUUGAACCGAAUACUUCUACCUAUACCCUUUAAGCCAAUUUAUUUAUAUUAACAUGCUUGUCCAAAACUUUUGUCCCAUCAAAUGGAGUUUAUUUAACAGCAGGAGUUCCUUGUAUCACAAUGGCCGUGCUGGCCUUAGAUGGCACGAUUGGCACUCCUCGACCGAAAUUUUUUUUGGAGACAUUUAAAUAUCUACGUGAAUUUAUACAUUCAAUUAAUUAAAAAUUAGAGUAUUAUAUUAAUAUAUGAGUACUAUCAUAUUUUAAAUAAUAUAUUCUUUAAUUUUAGAUAAUAUGUUAAUUUUAAAUUAGAUGAAUUAUACAAUGCAUACAUAAAAUUUUCCUUAUUGAAGAUGGUAUUACCGGUGGAUUGAGUUAAGAAAAUUAUAGGGUUUUAACUGUAUACUGAUGUCCUGAGAUCUCAAAAGUAGAGUUUACAGUACAUGAGAGUGAGUUUAGUUUGGGAAGAUCACGUCUCCCCUCUUUUAUUUUUUUUUCCUUAUCUGCUAGUGAUGCAUAACCGCUCCUUACUACAGUGUCAUCUGUCCCUAUCACUCAGACCCGUAUGUAUGGAUGUACCAGCAUACCCCUCUCUAUCAAGCAGCCAUUUAAUUCUCCACGGUGCGCAUGCUAAUAGAGCUAUGAAGUGACUAGGUCUGCUCUCCUACUUCUUAUCAUGUCACCGGACUAGAAUAUCUCUUGGUGGACCUAUGCGUGUGGUUAGUCUGGCUUGCUUCAUGUCGCCGAGCUGGAGCAUGAGAUGCUGAGUUGGCCUGCUUUAGAGUGGCCUAAUGGGUUUUGGGCCUAUAUUUUUUGCCAAGGCCUGACCUCACCCCGAGUGUAAGAAGUACGGCGGUCAUCAAGUGCCCCUUUACCUCCUCAGCAGUUAUUUCAUGAGUGAUGAGGGGGUAAAUUCCUAGGCCCCCUAUUAUGACCGCGCGACCCGAGGAUGGCUUUUGUCAAAAAGGUCCUUUCCUUGCCUUUACUCUUUUCAAAUUCAAACUCCCAUUUCUCUCCAGACUCUUCUUCUCACUUUGCUCUCACUCCUUCUUCCCUCGCCAACUUCUUUUCUCGAGAGUAUCUAGACACCUCUAUCUAUCGUGUUACGGCUCCUCACCGUAAUGAGAGGAUCAUUCUUUCUGUUCCUCCGCCACCGUGUUUGAUUGACCCCCCAGCGGGAUCGUAGCUUGGUCUUUUUUGUCAAGCAUCGUGAUUUUGGCUUGACCUUCCCUUUCUCUCCCUUCUUCAUCGAGGUUUUCCAUUACUUUGGGGUAACGCCUCGCAUGCUCUCACCCAACUCCAUCCUCUUUAUGUAAAACCCGGCUAGACGCCGGUAUCGAAAUUCUGACUUUCUGGCGGAAUCUCCGUUGGAAUAUGGAAUUCGAGGAUGUCGGAGGUUCUUUGACGGGUAAGAGAAAGGGUUGCAAAAUGUUUCUAAGUGUUUUAUGGUUUUUAAUGCAAAGGAAUUGGGUUUUGAAAGGGAAAAGACCAAGGGGACAAAUUGCAGGUUCGGCCGCCGAAGGAUAAGUUCGGCCGCCGAACAUUGCAUGGUUUCGCCCACCGAAGGUGAAGUUCGGCUGCCGAACGUUGCAUGGUUUUGCAUGCAGCUUAGGCCGCCGAAGGAGAGGCGGUUGGGCCACCUAUAAAAGCCCCGUUGACCGAAAAGGGAGUGUGCAAUCACUCUCUUUUCGUGCAAAGGUAGGCUCAUGCUCUCCUUUGGUCAUUUUCAUGAUAUUUCUUCAAAUCUUUUAAGGUUUUCAUGAGUUUUCUCCUUGUUUUGAAGAGUUGUGAGCUUUGAGCAAGAUUUUGAAGCUUGGAGACUUGUGGAGCUUGGAUCUCCAUAUCUUCACGUUUACGGUCACACCAACUCUUGUUCUUCAAGAGGUAAGUGUAGAUCCUUAGGUUUUAUGAAGUGUUAAGUGAGUUUUAUGGAGGUUUAUGGGUAGAGAUGCAUGUUUAGGGUAAAGUGGGUUUUUGGUUGAUUUGUGGUCAAAGCAUGCUUAUGUGUUUAGAUGUGUUGUUUGUUGGGGUUGUAAGUUAGUUUUGGACCCCUUUGUGCCUAUACUUGAGUAUAUACAGGUUGUGGACUUGUGGUUUGCAUGUUUUGGGUGUUGGAAGGUUUGGGGUGGCUUGUUGUGCAUGAAGCUGAGUUCUGGAUGAACUCAGGUUCGGCCGCCGAAGCAAGGUUCGGCCGCCGAACCCCUUAGGAAGGCUGUUUUAGGCGCCGAACAUACCGCCGAAGGUUGGUGACUUUCGGCUCUGGAAGGUCUUUCAGCCCCCGAACCUUGCCCCCGAAAGUUUAGACUUUCGGAUCUGGAAGGAACUUUCAGCCGCCGAAGGUGCCGCCGAAGAUGCCCUGUCCAGCUUUUCUUUGCUUGUUUUCCAUGCAUGCUUGAGGAUGUUUUAGGGGGUUUUUGGGGAGUUGUUUAUGAGUUGUUUAGAGUGUGUUUGGCACCUCAUUCGAGUCCACCUGUGUAGGAUUGGACCCGAGGGACCGAGGAGGCCAUCAGUGUUAGCUGUUGCAGAGUCAGUCCAGCGUCUGCCAGAGGUAAGUAGAACUAAACUUAAUGUUUUAAAUUGAGAAAUUAAAUGCCUUUUAGCAUGUUUCAUGCACCAUGAGUAUGCAAUAGGUUGAUUGCAUUAGUAGUCACGAAUAUGAUGCAUUGCAUUAUUUAUUGAUGAUGUGGAUGGACCAAGGCGACCUCAAUAGCCCACGAUCUGUUAAGUAAGGAAAGACUUGUGUGAGCUCACAGGGGGGGCGGGGCGCUGACAAAGGGAGUUUUGAGGUCAUUUCCAAUCUGAGAUGUGAAAUGUUUGUGCUGUGACGCAUUUCAUGAAAGCAUGUUAUUAAUGAAUUGUUUUCAUUGUUUCUACUCACUGGGCUUUUUAGCUCACCCCUCUCCCCUAACCCCAAUUUUGCAGGGCCAGAGUUAGCUAUGGAGAGUCAGAGUCAGCAGAGUGCUGAGUAUGAGUUGGUUAUGUAAUAGAAUAGUGGACAUGAUGUAAAUUAAAGGAUUAGUAUGUAAUGUAUAGAGAUAUAAUAUCAUGUAACGGAUAGAGUUGUGCUUUGCCCUAGUGUAUGAUUUAUCCCUUGUUAUGCAUGAUCUUUAUUGAAUGCUUUAUGUUUUAAGAUGAGAAAUGUGUUGCACCAAGGCUGACUUGUGAUAUGCUGACCCUAGGAGAGUGGGUUCUAUGUUUUCAGACAUAGUGCAUGCAGGUCGAGCUUGGUAAGGGAAAGGAAAGUGUUUUCAGUUUUUAUGAUAAUGUUUGAUCAUGUAUGGGAUUUAUCAGGUACACAGAGUUCAGGUUAGGUUUGCUACGGGUCCCAGCGGCCUUAAACCGAUCUGGAUCCUAGCGCCGGUAGCGGUCCGGUUUCCGGGUCGUUACACUUUAUGUGUUCCUUUGAAUCUAUUAGCCUGUGUUGGGGUUUUACCCCGUCUGCUAUCCUGUUCUCCACCUUCUUCCGCCUGGUUAGGGCCAGUAAGGGGUUUUACUAUUUCGCUCCCUAAGGAGGGUUAUCCAUUUUCUUAGGGUAUAAGGACUCCAUAAAAGGAUGGGUUGAAGGUUUUGUGAUGGUGGAGCUAAAGGAGGGCUCUGGGUUAACUUGGGGUGUGGACCUUCCCUAGAGGGAUGUCCCCCCAGGCUGCAAUGACCUGCCACGGCUGCCCGUGCUGGAUCAGAUCUGCCUUCUCCGACUGACCGCUGUCUCGUGGAAGUAUGAUGUCAAGAAGUGCAUGUUCGUGUCCAGUCUUCAGGACUGCCGGGACGCUGGUAUUUGCCUGUUGAUGUUCUGCUUUUCUCUUAUGCCUUUUGCUUUUUCCUGCUUUUUUUUUUAACUGCUGAUUGUUCUUAUUUUUUGCAGCCUCCUCUGCACCGAUGGACAAAAUCAAGCCUCCAAAGAACAUGAAGGCCACCCCGGAGGCCUUCCAGGUUGGCCGUUCAGUGGCAGGUGUGACUCGGGAGGUUUUUCAGGCCAUCUCUCCUCAAGGCCUAGGCUUAGUGUAAGGAGGCAAAGGCUCAGCGGGACGAGGCCUUGGCCCGGGUUGCUGUCCUUCAGUAGGAGCUCAGCAAGCACACCAAGGACUUGAAGGGCAUGGCCUUGGCAGCGGAGGAAUCACGACUUCAACAAUAACAACUCCGCCAAGAGGUCACUGCCCUGGAGGAGAGGUAUUCUACCCUGCAGAAGGACGCCAGGCUUGUAGAAGAUAGGGUCCGGCUAGCCUGCGAGGAGCACCUGUAGAGUACAAGGACUCUGCUGAGCUGAAGGCCAAGAUUGAGCAGGCCUGCGAAGUGCGACUUAUGGAGUACAAGGCUACUGAUGUGAUAAAAGAGGAUUUAUACAACUCAGCCUUCCGCAUGCUCGCCUCCGGGUUCAAUCAAGGCCUGAAGCCAGCUAGGGAUGGCCCAUCCACUCCGUUGGUGGCCCUUCGAGUUCCCGAAGUCGACUCUAAUGGUGAGGAGGUGUGCUACAGAGAGGAUGAUAACCCAUUGCCUAAAUGAGCUCCUCCCCUGCCAGCUGGACCCCAGGGAGAAGACACUGUAAAUAAGCCCUUGAACGAUCUUGUCAAGUUCGGGCUCUUCCUCUGUAAAUAAGUAAACAAAUAAAUAAAGAUAUUUUUCUUUGUAUAUUCUGCCUUUGUGUUUAUUUAUUUGUUGUAAUUUUAUUUCUUGUCUUUUUACUUGACGUCUGAAUAUAUGACGAUCUGGGAGUACACAGUAAUAAUAAAUGAUAUUUCUCCUCAGCAUAUGCUUUGUUUAUACUUAGAUUAUUUUCUGUACAUAUUUUUUUCUUUGCUUUGUCGAGCUGCUCAGUCCCUUCAGGACUUAACUCAUCUUUAUUAUCUAACUUGUGAACGUCUUCUAACUUGCCUUAACAUAAGAGCCUUAAGCUGUAUGCUUACUUAAUAAAUUCCAACUUACCUAACCUACUUAAUUAACAGACUAAAUUAUCCUCUGCAUGACUUUGUCACCAGGAUAGAUCCAGGUUGAGAGCUCGAAAUUUUGCUAAGUUUUUUAACUCGUAAGUUUUUUCCAUUCUCAUGAGGGUACUUAUGUCAUUUUACCUGUGACCUCCUUGGUGCCACUGUAACGACCCGAAAAUCGGACCGCUACCGGCGCUAGGAUCCGGGUCGACUUAAGGCCGCCGGGACCCGUAGCAAGCCUAACAUAAUACCUGUAAACCUGUAUAAUCCCAUACAUGAUCAACAAUAAGCAUAAAAAUUAAAACUUUUCUUUCCAUAAACAUCAACCAAACUCAACCUGUGCAUAAAUAUGAACAUAACUUUGAUCCCUCUGUGGGAUCUCAUCUGUGCCCUCAAAGGGUAACAUAACCUGUGUUGAGCUGGUUUACAUGAACAUCAACAAAACCUCUAAGAUCAUGUAUAAAAAGGGAUACAACAUUCUAUGGUCAAGCACAUACUAACAUCCAUAAAACUCAUUACAUAACUAUACUGUACUUUUACAUUACAAUUUGAUCAUGUCCAUUGCUAGCUAUUACAUAAGCAAGACUUCUUUACUCUAUCCGGACUCCCGUACUAUAUCCUGUACCUGUAAGCCUGGGGGAAAAGGGAGAGGGGUGAGCUAAAAGCCCAGUGAGUAGAGCUAGUAAAAACACAUUAACACUAUGCUCAAAUGGAAUGCAUCAUAACACAAACAAUUCACAUAAGGAUUGAGUGAACUCGUCACCAAUUAGUCCAAGUUAACUCUGUGCCAGGCCUGUAGAAUGGGGUCCUGGUCUUUCCUGUCAGAACAUACAUUACUUACCAUGUUCCCAGGGCCUCCUCUGGGCUCCUGGUCUUCGAGUCCCAUAACCGUACCUUACUCUGUGCCAGGCCUGUAGACUGGGGCCUGGACUUGCUUACUCUGUGCCAGGCCUGUAGCAUGGGGCCUGGUCUUCCUGUCUUGGACUAAUUGGGUCAUCCAACAUUCACCCACAACAACAACAAUUUAUGCAAUGCGGCAUAUUCGUGAAACUAAUGCAAUUAUCCUAUUGCAUAAUUAUGAUGCAUGAAACAUGAUAAAACAUUUAGUUUAGAAGAUUAAGUUUAGUUCCACUCACCUCUGGCUGACUCUGACAACACCGCAGCUGAACUCACUGCUGGGGUCCUCGGUUCCUCGGGUCCGAACCUACACAGGUGGACUCAAAUGAGGGACCAAAAAUACCUGAACAUAACUAUAAACUACUCCCCAAAAAAACCCCCUAAAACAUCCUGAAAACAUCACAGAAAAUAUGCAUGAAAUGGCUGAACAGGGCACUUUCGGCGGCACCUUCGGCGGCCGAAAGUCCUGGACAGAGACGAAACUCAGGCAGGUUCGGCGGCACCUUCGGCGGCCGAAAGUCCCAGACAGAGACGAAAGUCUCUUUUCGGGGGCAACUUCGGCAGCCGAAUGGCCUGCCUCCCCAGCCAUGUUCGGCGGCCGAAAGUACCUUCGGCUGCCGAACCUGGUUUCUGCCAAAGGGCAGAAACUUGGCUCCCUUAACACAUUUCGCCUCCAAACCUUCCAAACAUGCAUAUUUUUCAACCAAAGCAUGCAUACAAGUUCCUAGGGGUCUCAAACAAACAUAUACCCCAUCUACAACACUUCAAACAUACUCAAACAACACGCAUUGUUCAAAACAUCAAUAUAUAUACCCAUAACUCAACAUAUACCCUAGCAUGCAUUUCUACCCUUAGAUCUUGCAUAAAACUUAUUUAGAACACAUAAUAAGGGUGGAUCCGAGCUUACCUCUUGAAGAAAUGAGAGGGAAGACGAUCCUAGCUUGGAGAUGAAGAGAUUGAGCUCCUUGAACCUCCAAGCACCCAAAACUUGCUCUUUGCUCACAAAUCUUCAAAAUAGAAGUUAAAACUCGUGAAAACCAUGAAAGAUCUAGGGAAAACACUCAAGAUUGAGGGAGGAGCGGCGGAGACUCACCUUGGCCGACAAUGGGAGAGAAAAGCUCGCCCGUGCGGACCAAAGGGACCCUUUUAUAUGUGGCUGGCCAGGCCACGUUCGGGGGCCGAAAGUGCCUCCGUAUCCAUGCAAUGUUCGGCGGCCGAACAUGAGGUUCGGCGGCCGAACCCUGACUUCCCUCACUCAUGCUUUCGGGGGCCUAACGUGCCUCCAAAACGCAUGCAUGUUCGGCGGCCGAACUUGACUUUCGGCGGCCGAACCUGGGUUUUCCCUCCAAAGCUAUUUUCAUGUAAAAACUCAUUUAAAACAUAAAAACAUUUCAUAAAAACAUGACUCUACCCUUCUAGAGGUCUCCGACAUCCGAGAUUCCAUCGGACGAUAGGAAUUCCGAUACCGGAGUCUAGCCGGGUAUUACAGCCACGAGCUCGGAUAUGUGAUACUUGGAAUGAUCAUCUUCGCGUAUAAGUUUCUUCUUUUACUCAGUGUGAUAGUUAAAAAAAAUUAUGAAUUAAGCGCCAUGAGUUAUGAGCCUGUCUGAGCUACUAGGGAUUCAUCCGAUCUUAUGAGCUCGACUAUUUCCGUGCAUUUAUGGUCUGUGGGUCCACUCGAAUGGGAGCUCGGCUUUCUAUUACUUUUCCACACUUGACUUAUUUUGCUAAUUUUAUAUGUUGUGAGCUGACUUGAACUAGGAGCUCGACUCUUUGUUUUCGUUUACCUUUUUGUCUGUCCAGUGCCUGUGGGCCCUUUCACAUAGGGAGUUUGGCUUUCUGUUACUUCUUUCACACUUAGCUUAUUCUGCUUGAGUGCUUUUACAUGUCAUGAGUUCAUUCGAACUAUGAGCUCGACUCUUUGUUUUUUACUUAGGCUUUUUCACGUGUUUAUAACCUGUGAAUCCAUUUGUGCCCUGGGCUCGGGAGUUCAGAUUUUCGUUUCCGGCCUUUGGGUGUCUCGAGCUCUUUUAUGAGGUUGAACCUGAUUCCUAAGUUAUGUGUUGAGCUUUAUGCAGGCCACGUUCUGGUCUGUAUGUUUAUUCAUUUUGCCUUAGCUUUUCUUUUGAAGGGGGGCUUAGUGCCUUUGUUUUUCCUUUGUUGACCCUUCCUCCUUCAGCUCGGUUUUAUGCGGAUCUAUUAAGGAUUCAGGCUCAAUGAUCUUAUUGUCGCUUCCAAGCUCUUUGGCCUUGCUUGGGAUUCAAGCUCAUUGGUCUUACUGUCGCUUCCAGGCUCCUUGGCCUUGCUUGGGAUUCAAGCUCAUUGGCCUUGUUCAGGAUUCAGACUCAUUGGCCUUACUAUUGCUUCCAGGCUCAUUGGCAUUGCUUAGGAUUCAAGCCUGUUGGCCUUACUGUCGCUUCCAGGCUCAUUGGCCUUGCUCGGGAUUUAGGCUCGUUGGCCUUACUGUCGCUUCCAAGCUCCUUGGCCUUGCUCGGGAUUCAAGCUCGUUGACCUUACUAUCAUUUCUAGGCUCAUUGGCCUUGCUCGAGAUUCAGGCUCGUUGGCCUCACUGAGGGCUUCAUUCCCUCUCAGCUCGAUUUUGUGGUGUUGGCGGUUAUUUUUUGAAGCCAGUCACCUAUCUCACUGAGGGCUUCUAAUGCCUGUUUUGAAAAUACUCAAAAUAUAUAGGGAAAUAAAAGCAGCAUUUCUCAUUCAUUCAUAUUUUAAGAGUAUAGAGUUUUACAUUGCACAUGUUUCAAGGAAAGUACCUCUUUAGGUGUUGGAUAUUCUAAGCAUGAGGCUUUGGGUUCCCUUGUAGGUCUUCAAUCUAGUAGACCCUAGGCUUGACGAUUUUAGUUAUCCUGAAGGGGCUUUACUAGGUUGGUGCUAGCUUUCCCAUUGCUGCUCUCUUCCAUGUUGCUUCUAGUCUCUUCAGGGCUAAGUCUCCUACUUUUAGGCUCCUUUCUCUAACUUUCUGGUUGUAGUAGCGGGCUUUUUUUUAUUGAUAAGCAGCAGUGCGCACUGGAGCCUGCUCUCUGAUCUGCUCUAGGGCAUCCAAGUUGCUUCUCAACUUCUCUCUGUUGGUGUCUUCAUUGCUGAAUUGGACACAGUGAGGAGGGAUUUGUAGUUAGAUGGGGACUACUGCCUCGGUGCUGAAUGCCAGUGCGAACAGUGUUUCCUUCGUCGGCGUUUGAGAGGUAGUCCUGAACACCCAUAGGAUACUGUUGAGCUCAGCUGUCCAGUUCUUCUUUGCUCCAUCCAGUCGCUUUUUUAAUCCCUGAAGGAUAGUUCGGUUUGUGACCUCCGUCUGGCCAUUUGUUUGAGGAUGAGCUACCGAGGAGAACUUGUGCCGGAUGCCCAUGUUUCUUGUGAAAACCUUGAAGGACUUGCAAUCAAACUGCUUGCCAUUAUCUAAUAUAAGUGUCCUCGGUAUGCCAAAUCUGUAGAUGAUGUUGCUCGAGAUGAAGUCUAUUACUUUGCGCGCUGUAAUGGUGGGCACGGCCUCAGCUUUAGGCCAUUUGGAGAAGUACUCUACUGCUACUGUAACAACCCGGAAACCGGACCGCUACCGGCGCUAGGAUCCAGAUCGACAUAAGGUCGCCGGGACCCGUAGCAAGCCUGCUAUUAUAACGACCCGAAAAUCGAACCGCUACCGGCGCUAGGACCCAGGUCGACUUAAGGUCGCUGGGACCCGUAGCAAGCCUGCUAUACUCUCUGUGUACCUGUAAAGUCCCAUACAUGAUCAUACAUUUUCUGCAAAAACAUAAAACUUAUUCUCUGAACCAAGACUCAACCUGUGCAUGCACUAUCUCUGGACUAUAGAACCCCUUACUAGAGCUUGCUCUAGACGGGUUAAACUCAUACAUGUUAAGCCUGGUUAUCAAACUCAUUAAUAACACAUGAAAAGAUUUACAUAAAACAAACCAUGUACACAAAAGGGAUUUACAGUACAACUAGGUCAAGCACAAUACUAAUACAUCUCUUCACAAUAGUACAUGUCCACACUAUGCGAUUACAAAAGUCUUUACACUUCCUGUACCCUGCUGACUUCCCUCUGACUCUGCUCCUGCAAGACUGGGGUUAUAGGAGAGGGAUGAGCUAUACAAGCCCAGUGAGUAGAACAAAUCAAACAUGUCAAUAAAACAUGCUCACAUGGAAUGCAUCACAUCACAAGUAAAUCACAUAAUCUCAGACGGACUGAUUCAAAAUUCCCUCAAUCUGUGCCCGGCCCGCGAAGGAGCUCCUCAGGACUUUAUUACGCACCCUAGGGUGCUCUAUGCCCGGCCCUCUCAGGGUUCCUCAGGACUUUACUACGAGGGCUAAUGAAUCCACUAUGUCCGAUCCGUACAAGCAUAGAAUAAUGCAAUGCGUCACAUUAGUGUAUUCUAGUGCACUCAACCUAUUACAUAUCAUGAUGCGUGGAACAUGCUCAAAGCAUUUACUUUCUCAAUUUAAAACAGUUUAGUUCCACUCACCUCUGGCUGACUCUGAACUGACUCUGAGUACUCUGAAGCAGUGCUCACUGCUGCUCUCUUCGGUUCCUCUGGUCCGUUCCUACAUAGGUGGACUCAAAUGAGGGACCAAACUAGCUCAAGAACAACUCUAUAAAACUCCCCAAAACCCCCUUAAAACAUCCUACAACAAUCACAUAAAAUAUGCAAAAGAAGGCUAGACAGAGUACUUUCGGCGGCAGGUUCGGCGGCCGAAAGUCCCUUCCAGAGACGAAACUCAAGCACUUUCGGCGACCGAACUUUACUUUUGGCAGCCGAACCCUUUCGGGGGCAAGGUUCGGGGGCUGAAAGGCACUCCAGAGACGAAAGUCUCUAACCUUCGGCGGCCGAAACCCCGCUCCAGAGUCUAAAGUCCAAACCUUCGAGAGUGAGUUUAGGCAGCCGAAACUACCUCCUUAGCACGUUCGGCUGCCGAACCUUCCUUCGGCGGCCGAAACUGGAUUUCUCAGUUAGGCAGAAACUUGUUCUGCUUCAUGCACAACUGCCCCCAAACACACUCAAACAUGCAAACCACAAUUCCACAACCUGCAUAUACUCAAGUAUAAGCACAAAGGGGUCCAAAAACUACCUUAAAACCCCAACAGACAGCACAACUACAUGCUUUGACCAAAAAGCAACCCAAACCUCAACUUACCCUACUCAUGCCUCUCUACCCAAAAACUUCAUAAAACCUUCAUAAACCAUGGAAAGAAGUUCAAGAUCUUCACUUACCUACAAACAAGGAGAUAAACGAUCCCAACGUGGAGAUAUGGAGCAAAACACUCCCAAAGCCUCCAAACUUCAAAACUUGGGUUUAAAGCUCAAAACCUUCAAACAAUCAUAAAAACUCAUCAAAACUUUGAAAGAUUUAAAGCAAAUACAAAAAUCACCCAAGGAAGCUCAUGAUCUCACCUAGGUCUGUGAAAAUGGAAGAAACUUAUCCAUUUCACCGACCUAGGGCCUUUUAUAGGUGGCUGUCCAGACCACCUUCGGCGGCCAAACGUGAAACCAAAACUCAUGCAUGUUCGGCAGCCGAACUUUCACCUUCGGCGGCCGAACCUUGCAUUUCUUCCUUGGCUCUUAUCGUUCACAAAAACUCAUUUCCUUUAUACUUAAAACAUUAAAACAUAUCAAAAUAUUUUGGAAAAACAUGUCUAUACCCUUCUAGAGGGUGCCGACAUCCGAGAUUCCACUGGACUACAGGAAUUCCGAUGCCAGACUCUAGCCGGGUAUUACAUUCUCCCCCCCUUAAAAACAUUCAUCCCCGAAUGUUCCUCAAACAAAUAAACACAUAAAAAGAGGAAAAUCUAACCUUAAAACAGAUAUGGACAUUGCUGAAGCAUAGACUCCCGUGUCUCCCAGGUGCACUCUUCUAGAUUGUGGUGGUUCCAUAGGACUUUCACCAUUGGAAUUUCCUUGUUCCUCAGCUUCCUGAUCUGAGUGUCUAGAAUCCGUACUGGCUGCUCUACAUACGUGAGAUCUCCAAGGAUCUCUACCUCAGGCUCAAUAAGAACCUUACUCGGAUCUGACACGAACUUUCGGAGUAUAGAAACAUGGAAAAUCGGGUGAAUUCGUUCCAUAGAAGCAGGUAAAUCCAGCUUAUACGACACAUUCCCGAUCUUCUGUAAGAUCUCAAAGGGUCCAAUGUACCGUGGUGCUAGCUUACCCUUUUUCCCAAACCGAACCACUCCUUUCAUUGGAGAUACUUUUAGCAAAACCAUAUCACCCUCCUGAAACUCUAUCUGCUUCCUGCGGACAUCUGCAUAGCUUUUCUGUCUGCUCUGAGCAGUCUUGAUCCUCUCUCUGAUCAUGGGCACCACUCUGCUGGUGAGCUCUACGAGCUCCGGCCCUGCAAGAGCCACCUCUCCUACUUCUUCCCAGCAAACAGGUGAUCGGCACUUCCUCCCAUAUAAAGCUUCAUAAGGAGCCAUCCCUAUGCUAGCAUGAUGGCUGUUGUUGUAAGCAAACUCUACCAAAGGUAGAUGCUGCCUCCAAGAAUCGCCAAAGUCUAACACACACAUUCUGAGCAUAUCCUCUAUGGUCUGGAUGGUCCUCUCUGACUGUCCAUCAGUCUGUGGAUGGAAAGCAGUGCUGAAAUCCAACCUUGUGCCCAUAGCACUCUGCAGACUCCGCCAAAAUCUGGAAGUGAACUGAGGUCCUCUAUCUGAAACUAUAGACACUGGGAUUCCAUGCAACCUUACGAUCUCCUCCAAAUAAACCUGUGCUAACUUAUCCACAAAGUAGUUGCUCCUAACAGGGAUGAAAUGAGCAGAUUUCGUCAGUCUGUCCACAAUCACCCAUAUGGAGUCUACCCUUUUGGACGCUACCGGUAAGCCCACUACAAAAUCCAUAGCUAUGUUCUCCCAUUUCCAUUCUGGAAUCGGCAGUGGGUUAAGCAUUCCAGCCGGCUUCUGAUGUUCCAGUUUCACCCUCUGGAAAACUUCACAGGCGGACACAAACUGUGCCACUUUUUUCUUCAUAGCUGGCCACCAAUACACUCUUUUUAGAUCCUGAUACAUCUUGGUGGCUCCAAGGUGAACACUGUACCUUGCAUUAUGAGCUUCCCUCAUAAUGUCUCCUUUCAGACUGAUGUCAUCUGGUACACAUAGUCGAUUCCCAUAGCGGAGGAUCCCUUUGCUGUCAAAUCUAAACUCUGCACUGUUGCCUGACUGAACAGUCCUGGCAAUUUUCACUAACGCAGGGUCCUCAUGCUGUUUCUGAGCCACCUGCUCCAGAAACACUGGGGUCACUCUCAUUUAUGCUAUCAACGCACCCGUACCAGACAACUCUAGCUGUAGCCCUUCGUCGAUGAGCUUAGAAAACUCCAUCAUCACUGGUCUUCUCUCUGCUGCUAUGUGGGACAAACUGCCAAGUGAUUUCCGGCUUAGGGCGUCAGCUACAACGUUCGCCUUACCCGGAUGAUACUGGAUUCUGCAAUCAUAGUCACUGAGCAGUUCUAUCCAUCUUCUCUGCCUCAAAUUCAGCUCUUUCUGACUCAAGAUGUAUUGUAAACUCUUAUGAUCUGUGAAGAUCUCGCAUUUCUCCCCAUAAAGGUAAUGCCUCAACAUCUUGAGUGCAAAGAUAACUGCUGCCAUUUCUAGGUCAUGGGUGGGGUAAUUCAACUCGUGCUUCUUCAACUGUCUAGAAGCAUAAGCAAUCACCCUGUCAUUCUACAUCAGAACACAACCCAAUCCCACUCUAGACGCAUCACAGAACACUGUGAAGUCCUCAUUACUGACAGGCAGAGCUAACACCGGUGCUGAUGUUAAUCUUCUCUUUAACUCUUCAAAGCUCUCUUCACACUGGUCUGACCACAUGAACUUCUGGUUCUUCUGAGUCAGUUUGGUCAUAGGAGCAGCUAUCUUUGAGAAGUUCUGAAUGAACCUCCUGUAGUAACCUGCCAAACCCAGAAAGCUUUUAAUUUCUGUCACUGAGGUGGGUCUAGGCCAGUUAGCUACAGCCUCUAUCUUCUUGGGGUCUACCUCAAUACCGUCUGCUGAUACUACAUGCCCCAAGAAUGAAAUGCUCCUCAACCAAAACUCACUCUUAGAGAACUUGGCAUAUAAACCAUGCUCUCUCAGAGUCUGCAGAACUGUCCUCAGAUGCUGGGCAUGCUCCUCUGCAUCUCUGGAAUACACUAAGAUAUCAUCAAUGAAGACAAUAACAAAGUGAUCCAGAUACUCGCUGAAAACUCUGUUCAUGAGGUCCAUGAAUGCUGCAGGAGCGUUAGUCAACCCGAACGGCAUUACUAAGAACUCAUAAUGCCCAUAUCUGGUCCUGAAAGCUGUCUUUGACACAUCUGCUUCUCUGACUCUCAACUAAUGAUACCCGGACCUCAGAUCUAUUUUAGAGAAACAACCUGCUCCAGCUAGCUGGUCGAAUAGAUCAUCGAUCCUAGGCAGGGGAUACUUAUUCUUGGUAGUGACCUUGUUCAACUGUCUAUAGUCGAUACAAAGUCUAAGGGAUCCAUCCUUCUUUCUGACAAAUAGCACUGGAGCACCCCAAGGUGAGGUACUAGGGCGAAUGAAACCCUUAUCUACCAAGUCCUGCAGCUGCUCUUUCAACUCUUUUAACUCUGCUGGCGCCAUCCUGUAGGGAGGAAUAGAGAUAGGUCUGGUACCAGGCAGCAAUUCUAUUGCAAACUCUAUCUCCCUAUCAGGUGGUAGUCCUGGAAGUUCGUCUGGGAAGAAGUCUAGAAAUUCUCGAACUACUGGAACUGAAGCUGGUUCCCUAACCUGACUAUCUAGCUCCCUCACAUGAGCUAGAAACCCCUGACAACCCCUCCUAAGCAAACGACGAGCCUGAAGGGCUGAAAUCAAACCUCUAGGAGUACCCCUCCUGUCUCCUCUGAAGACACACUCUGACCCAUCCUGGUCUUUGAGACUGACUACCUUGUCUCUGCAGUCCAAGGUAGCUCCAUAUGUAGAUAGCCAAUCCAUCCCUAGAGUGACAUCAAAAUCCGUCAAAUCUAGAACCACGAGGUCAGCUAGAAGGCAUCUACCCUCUAUGAACACUGGACUGAAGCGACAGACUGACACUGCCACUGAUGGGUCACAUUUGGGUCCACUGACCCAGAGAGGACACUCUAACUCAGAGAUUAUCAGACCCAAUCUCUCCACGGCUCUAGAAGCAAUAAAAGAGAGAGAAGCACCGGGGUCCAUCAAAGCAUACACAUCAGAACACCCAAUGAUGAGAUUACCUGACACCACUGUGUUCGACGUAUUUGCCUCCUCCUGUGUCACAGUGAAAAUCCGUGCUGGGGCUACCGGACCUUCACCUCGGGAACCUGCUGCUGAAGAAGAGGCUGACCCUCUCCCUCUGCCUCUGCCACUGCUCUGAGGUAUGGCUGGAGCUGCUGGCUGAGCUACACUGCCUGAGCUCAUCUGCUGGGAUGGUGCCAUAAAGGUCACUUGCGGACAUUCCCGUGCAAAAUGUCCCUCCUGCCCACACUUAUAGUAGGCUGUAGAUCCUAUACGACAAACUCCUUUGUGCGGCCUUCCACAUCUCCUACAUACUGUACUACCUGUGCCAGAGCUUGAGCCACUACCCAUUCCCAGACUAGACUUGAUCUUAUUCCAGAACUUGCCUUUCCUUGCUUUAAACUUUUCUCCCUUCUUGCUGCCAGAAGCUGCUGCACUAGGGGUCUUAGAACCCGAAGACUGUGCCACUUGCUGUUUAACUGUUCCCUGAAUAAUGGCACUCGCCUCCAUCUUCCUGGCGGCAUCCACUAUAGAGUGGAAACUCUCUUUCUCUGCUGGAAGAAUCAAGGAGGAAUACCUAGGAUGAAGUCUCAUGGUAUAUCUCCUUGCCUUCUUCUGGUCAGUAUCAUAAGCCUGACCCACAUACUGAAGCAGAUCCAAGAACUUAUCUGUGUAUUCAUCUACACUCAUUUCUUCAGUCUGUCGUAGCUGUUCAAAUUCUAUAACUUUCAGCUCCCUGGAACUGUCAGGAAAAGCCCACCCUGCAAACUCAUUGGCGAACUCUCCCCAUGACAUGCUGUCCAACCUGGGGUCCACAUAAUUCUUGAACCACUCGCGAGCCUUCUUACAUUUCAAUGUGAACCCUGCCAUCUUAAUGGCUCUGCUAUCAUCAGCUCCUAACUCAUGGGUUAUCAUCUUCACCGUUCUGAGGUAAUCAAAUGGAUCAUCUCCCGUGUUGAACUUGGGAGCAUCCAACUUCAGAUACUCUAUCAUUUUCGCUUUUCUUCCCUCAACUGAGCUAGGAUGAGGUACUUGGACAUCUGGGGCUACUGGUUCUGGUUCUGGUGGUGGAGCAGAAGGUGCAGAACUUGGCUCUGGGUAUGCUGUACUGGGAUGGAAAGGUGUGGGUGGAUACAUGGGAUAUGGUGGGUAAAAAGGAGGAUAAGGCAUAUAAGGCAUGUAGGUAGGAUAUGGGGUAAAGCUAGAGUAAUCCGACGUACCCCCAUCAGAUACCCUGGGCCCUGUGGAAAGGGAGGAUACUGGGGUGGAUAACCAAACCCCGAGGCCUUAGCGCCUCCUUGCGACUCUCCCAUACCCUCUUCCGACCUGUCCAUACCCAUGCUUUCCUCUCUUUGCUAAUCCACAUCCAUAGCCUCCCUCACUUCCUCUGAGCUUCCUCCUCUAUCUGUUCCUCUCCUGCUCUUGUCAAAAGACCUUCUAGGGUCCCUUGACGUACCCUCCCUGCUUGAUCGCUGAGACCUCGCUCUUGGCAACGCAGGAGGACGAGCAUUUGAGCCCUCAUUCACUGGUGGGACUCCAGUCAAUCGUGCAGAUCGACGAGUUCCUCUCAUCUUAACUUUCUGGAGAACAACAGAACAGCACACAUCAGCAUAGAAACAUCACAUAACAACAAUGCACAUGCAUAACUCAUGGCAAUUCACAGCAGCAAAUAGACAGAACUCAACAUCCUAUCCUAGUGGACAUGCUCUCCUAUUGUGCUUGACCUACUAGAACCUCUAUGAGCCCGACACACUCGCUAUAGGUCCGACCAUAUGAACCUAGGGCUCUGAUACCAAUCUGUAACGACCCAAAAAUCGAAUCGCUACCGGCGCUAGGAUCCAGGUCGACUUAAGGUCGCCGGGUCCCGUAGCAAGCCUGCUAUACUCUCUGUGUACCUAUAAAGUCCCAUACAUGAUCAUACAUUUUCUGCAAAAACAUAAAACUUAUUCUCUGAACCAAGGCUCAACCUGUGCAUGCACUAUCUCUGGACUAUAGAACCCCUUACUAGAGCUUGCUCUAGACGGGUUAAACUCAUACAUGUUAAGCCUGGUUAUCAAACUCAUUAAUAACACAUGAAAAGAUUUACAUAAAACAAACCAUGUACACAAAAGGGAUUUACAGUACAACUGGGUCAAGCACAAUACUAAUACAUCUCUUCACAAUAGUACAUGUCCACACUAUGCUAUUACAAAAGUCUUUACUCUUCCUGUACCCUGCUGACUUCCCUCUGACUCUGCUCCUGCAAGACUGGGGUUAUAGGAGAGGGAUGAGCUAUACAAGCCCAGUGAGUAGAACAAAUCAAACAUGUCAAUAAAACAUGCUCACAUGGAAUGCAUCACAUCACAAGUAAAUCACAUAAUCUCAGACGGACUGAUUCAAAAUUCCCUCAAUCUGUGCCCGGCCCGCGAAGGAGCUCCUCAGGACUUUACUACGAGGGCUAAUGAAUCCACUAUGUCCGAUCUGUACAAGCAUAGAAUAAUGCAAUGCGUCACAUUAGUGUAUUCUAGUGCACUCAACCUAUUAUAUAUCAUGAUGCAUGGAACAUGCUCAAAGCAUUUACUUUCUCAAUUUAAAACAGUUUAGUUCCACUCACCUCUGGCUGACUCUGAACUGACUCUGAGUACUCUGAAGCAGUGCUCACUGCUGCUCUCUUCGGUUCCUCUGGUCCGUUCUACACAGGUGGACUUAAAUGAGGGACCAAACUAGCUCAAGAAAAACUCUAUAAAACUCCCCAAAACCCCCUUAAAACAUCCUACAACAAUCACAUAAAACAUGCAAAAGAAAGCUGGACAGAGCACUUUCGGCGGCAGGUUCGGCGGCCGAAAGUCCCUUCCAGAGACGAAACUCAAGCACUUUCGGCGGCCGAACUUUACUUUCGGCAGCUGAACCCUUUCGGGGGCAAGGUUCGGGGGCUGAAAGGCACUCCAGAGACGGAAGUCUCUAACCUUCGGCGGCACCUUCGGCGGCCGAAACCCCGCUUCAGAGCCGAAAGUCCAAACCUUCGGGGUGAGUUUAGGCAGCCGAAACCACCUCCUUAGCACGUUCGGCUGCCGAACCUUCCUUCGGCGGCCGAAACUGGAUUUCCCAGUUAGGCAGAAACUUGUUCUGCUUCAUGCACAACUGCCCCCAAACAUACUCAAACAUGCAAACCACAAUUCCACAGCCUGCAUAUACUCAAGUAUAAGCACAAAGGGGUCCAAAAACUACCUUAAAACCCCAACAAACAACACAACUACAUGCUUUGACCAAAAAGCAACCAAAACCUCAACUUUCCCUACUCAUGCCUCUCUAUCCAAAAACUUCAUAAAACCUUCAUAAACCAUGGAAAGAAGUUCAGGAUCUUCACUUACCUCACACAAACAAGGAGAUAAAUGAUCCCAACAUGGAGAUAUGGAGCAAAACACUCCCAAAGCCUCCAAACUUCAAAACUUGGGUUUAAAGCUCAAAACCUUCAAACAAUCAUAAAAACUCAUCAAAACUUUGAAAGAUUUAAAGCAAAUACAAAAAUCACCCAAGGAAGCUCAUGAUCUCACCUAGGUCUGUGAAAAUGGAAGAAACUUAUCCAUUUUACCGACCUAGGGCCUUUUAUAGGUGGCUGGCCAGACCACCUUCGGCGGCCAAAUGUGAAACCAAAACUCAUGCAUGUUCGGCGGCCGAACUUUCACCUUCGGCGGCUGAACCUUGCAUUUCUUCCUUGGCUCUUAUCGUUCACAAAAACUCAUUUCCUUUAUACUUAAAACAUUAAAACAUGUCAAAACAUUUUAGAAAAACAUGUCUAUACCCUUCUAGAGGGUGCCGACAUCCGAGAUUCCACUGGACUACAGGAAUUCCGAUGCCAGACUCUAGCCUGGUAUUACAGCUAUACUCUCUGUGUACCUGUAAAAUCCCAUACAUGAUCAUGCAUUUUCUGUAAAAACAUAAAACUUUGCUAUGUACCAAGGCUCAACCUGUGCAUGCACUAUCUCUGUACUACAGAACCCCUUAAACUUCCUCCCAAACUUCUCAUACAUGCAAACAAAAAUUCCACAACAAACAUAUACUCACGUAUAUGCACAAAGGGGUCCAAAACUACCUUAAAACCCCAACAAACAACACAACUCAAAACAGAACAUGCUUUCACCAAUAAUCAACCAAAAACCCUACUUAACCUAUUCAUGCAUCUCUCCCCAUAAAACUCCAUAAAAUCUUCAUAAAACAUGAAAAGAAGUUAAGGAUAUACACUUACCUCUUGAAGAUCUAGAGAAUAGGUAAUCCUAAUGUGGAGAUAUGGAGCAAUGCUCUCUCAAAGGCUCCAAGCUUCAAAACAACAUGAAAACUUAUCAAAACUUUGAAAGAUUUGAAGAAAACAUGAAGAUCACCCAAGGAAGAUCAUGGUCUCACCUCUGUCCGUGGAAAUGGAAAGAAAACCUUAUCCAUUCACCGACCUAUGGCCUUUUAUAGGUGGCUGGCCAGACCACCUUCGGCGGCCAAACUUGAUUCCUAAACUCAUGCAUGUUCGACGGCCGAACCCCACUUUCGGCGGCCGAACCUGGCAAUGCUUCUUUGGUUCUUUGCUUUUACAAAAACUCAUUUUCGUUACACUUAAAACAUUAAAACAUACCAAAACACUUUAGAAAAACAUAUCUAUUACCCUCGAGAGGGUUCCGACAUCCGAGAUUCCACCGGACUGUAGAAGUCCAAUGCCAGACUCUAGCCGGGUAUUACAGCUACUAUCACGAACUUCUUUUGCCCGGUGGUCUUAGGGAAAGGGCUCAGGAUGUCUAUGCUCCACUGUGAGAAUGACUAAGGGCUUGAUAUGCUAGACUGUGGUGUAGCCAGGACGUUGAUGGCAUUAGCAAACCUUUGGCAGACAUCACAUCUUCUGACGAAUUCUUCUGCUUCUUUUUUAACUGUGGGCCAGUAGUAGCCUUGUUUAAAGAUUUUGUUUGCCAACGUUCCUGCCCCUUCAUGAGCUCCACAGACUCCCUAAUGUAUCUCCUCAAUCACCCUGACCGCUCCUUCAGGACCCACACAUCUGAGUCAUGGACUGGAUUUCCCCCUUCGGUAUAAGGUCCCUCUUACUGCCUGAUAAUUGGCAAUCCGGGCUGCAAUUUUCUCGCUUCAACUUUAUCCUCAGGUGGCUUCCCUAUCUCUAGGUACUUCAGGUAUGGAGUCAUCCAGUUCUGCCCUUCUUCGAUUUGUAUUAUUGUGGUGGGUUUUUCAAAAGUGGGGAUGCUGAUGUGUUGUAUGUAUACCUCAUCUGGGAGCUGUUCUAGUUCUUUCUCGGAUAACCGGCUAAGCAGGUCUGCUUCAUCGUUCUCCUCCCUAGGUAUCCUCUGAUACGGCACAAAAAUUCCCUACUCUAUCAUAAGCUGUCAUUGGUAGCAUCAUGAUCUUUUUCGGGAUGGUCUUUUAUUGGAUCCAACUUGAAAAAGGUGAGGACGUGGGCAAAAGGGUCUGGCUGAUAUCAUUUGUCCCGGUUCAGCUAGGAGCUGUUCCUUCAUCUUCCUUAGCUUUCGAUCUACAUAUGACUCCUCUUGCCUUGGCCUUUUCUCUAGGCUGUAUCCCUCCUUUCAUUCCUCACUUUCCAUCCUUCCUGCUGUCCUCGCAGAGUAGCUCUCUGCUUCGUCAUUCUCAAUGAGCUCUCUCAUCCUCCUUCCUCGGGCCCUAACUGCCAGCUCAUCUUCUCUAGUGGCUCCUCCGCUCCCUUCUCCGGUUCUUCGACUGCUUUGCUGGGGGAUUUGGUAGUUGAAGGUGGGUUGUGGCUCGGUGGCAUUGAACCCUUCAGCUACAAGAGUUAUGCUUAACGGGGUAUUAAGGCCCCUCUGUUGUAACAUCUACCCCAGCCAGUGAGCAGUGUUCUGUAGCUUGAGGGCCAUAGUUUGGAGUUCUUGGUCGGAUAAGGUGGCCCUGGAUACAUUCCUUGCCGAGUUUGGCGAGGGAUUAAAUAGCACGAGUGGUUGGUUUGAGGGGGUUGUAGGACUAGAAAAAGAGAACUGCUGACCUUCUUGAGCAGAGCUCAGGUCGUUAGGGGUGUUACUGAUAUAGUUUUCGUUAUGGUUUGCCAUGUGAAUCUCAAUGGGUAUUAUAAGAAUGGAACUCCAGUGACGAGAAGAUCUCUUUCGUUCCCACAGACAACGCCAAUUGAUGUUCUGAAAUUCAGAAAGUAGGGUUUACAGCGUAUGAGAGUGAGCUUAGCCUGGGAAGAUCACGUCUCCCCUCUUUUCUUCCUUUUUCCUUAUACUCUAGUGACACAUAACCGCCCCUCUACUACAGUGCCACCUGUCCCUGUCACUCAGGCCCGUACGUACGGAUGUGCCAGUGUACCCCUCUUUGUCAGGCGGCCAUUUAAUUUCCCUCAGCGCGCAUGCUGAUAGGGCUAUAAAGUGACUGGACCUGCUCUCCUACCUCUUGUCAUGUCACCGAGCUAAACUAUCUCCUAGUGGACUUAUGCGUGUGGUUAGUCCAGCUUGUUUUACGUCGCCAGGCUAGAGUAUGAGAUGCUGAGUUGGCCUGCUUUAAAGCGGCCUAACGGGUUUUGAACCUAUAUUUUUCUCCAAAGUCUGACCUCACCUAGCGUGUAAGAAGGCUGACGGACAUCAUAUACUAAACCUUGAAAAAUUUUAUAAUAAAUUAUAAAAUUUACCUUUUUGUAAAAAAAGAGUUAGGUUGCUAGUGUCUAUUUGUUCACAUAGACUUGGGCUUAUAAAACUUUGUUUAUUGUUAUUUUUUACAUUCAGACACCACCUUAAUGAAAUAUAUUUCUACUGCCAAUUAAAAAAAAUGGUAUUUAUAUGUCAUAGGAACAACUUAUUGAAAGGAAUUUUUAUUUUAUUAUUAUUUUUACUUUAAAAACUUUAAUUUAAUUUAUAUCAAAAUAAUAUUUAAAAAAACAUUUGCGUGCGAAUAUUUUGAUGGUGUUUAAAAUUUAAAUUCUAAACACAAAACAGAAGAAUAUGAUAGAUCCCACGUCACAAUUCAAUUGAAUUCACUUAUCUGUAUCUCGUGUACACCGUAGAUUAAGUGUCGGCAAGAAUUGCCUCUUUUCUUCUCCUUGCACCACAUGUCCCCUCUUUCUCCUUAUCCUCCAUCCAUUCCUUCCGUUGUUGCGACCCACCAUCACCCAAUAAUGUAUAAACACAUCAUCUAUACAUUCAUUAUCAAUUAUGAAUUUGUACUAAAGUUAUCAUCAUUGUUCGAAAAAAAAAAUCUUAUUAAUUUUUAAGAUAAUAUAAAAAAUUUCUAAAUUAUUCAAAUUUUAAUAAAUAUAUUUAAAAAUAUAAAAAUUAAUUAAUAUAUUUUAAAUUAAUUAUUUAAAUUUAUUUAUACAAUAGUAUUAAAUUUAACCAUUAAUUUUAAUGAAAAUAUCACGUUAUUCUCUAGACAAUAAUAAAAAUUAAUAUUUUAAUAUAAUUAAAAAUAAAUAAUUAUAAGAAACCUAAUUUUAGUAAUUAUAUUCUAAAUUUUUAAUAAAUAUACUGUAAAUAAUUUUUCUAUUUAGUUUGAUAUUUAAUAUUGAUUCAAUUUAUUUAUAAUUUCGAAUUAUACAUAGCUGAAUUUAUUUUUUGAUAUUCGUUUUGUUAUAAUAAAUAUAACGUUUUAUAUAAUUAUAGGUUAUAAAUAUUAUGAUAAUAUUACAUCUAAAAAAUUAAGAGUUAUUAUUUUUUUUACUUAAAAAAUUAAUUAUAUUUAUUCACUCUGAUUAAAUUGAAAAUCAAUAAUUAAUUUAAUAAAUUUAAAAUAAUUAAAUUCAUUAAAAAAUAUAUAAAUUGUAGUUAUAAAUUAGAUUAAACUUAAAUAUUUUCAAUUAAUUAGAUUGAUUCUUAAUUUUCAGCUCUAUAAAGUAUUUAUACUAAAUAUAAUUAAUUUUUUAAAUAGUAAAAAUUAUAAUUUUUAAUUUACUAAAUAUAAUGUUAUUACAAUACUUAUAACUUAUAAUUAUAUAAGAAGUUAUAUUUGUCAUUAAAAAAAAUAAUAUCAAAAAAUAAGUUAUUGACUUCUAUAAAUAUUUCAUUCAAAAUUAUAAAUAAAUCAAAUUAAUAUUAAAAAUCGAAUUAAAUUAAAAAAUUAAUUUGAAAUAUAUUUAUUAAAAUAAAGUAUUUAGGUGUAAUUAUUAAAAUUAGUAAAAAUAAUUUUUUUUAAAACAAAUUGAAUGAAAUUCAACGAUGGAUUUAGAAAUAUAUUUAUUAAAGUAAAAUAUUUAGGAUAUAAUUAUUAAAUUAGUAAAAUUUAAAUUUUUUAUAAUUAUUUAUUUUAAAUUAUUAAAAAUAUUAAAUUUAGUCUAUUAGUAAAUAUAUCUGAAUAAAUGGAAUUUUAUAUUUUAUUUUUUAUAUUUAAUUAAUAAAAUAUUAAUUUUAAUAAUGAUGAGAAUAGUGAUAUAAAAUUUCGUUAAAUCUAACUGUAGAUAUAUUAAUUAAUUUUUAUAAUUUAAAUAUAUUAAUUUUGGUUAUUUUAUGUUAAAAUUAGUUAAUUCUCUAUGGAAUAAAUCUUAAAAAAUUGGGUACAAAUAAUAAAAUGAAAGGAUUUAGAAUUUUUAUUACUAAACUUUAUGUCAUAUCAAUAAUUAUAUAUAAAAUAUUAAAUAUAAACAAAUCAGUAAUACCAAUUUUCAAUCUGAUGGUGACUAUACAAAACACAAAAUUUCGAAAUAAAGUUAAGAUUUUUCAGAAAAUAUUUAUGGAAUUCAUAACUAAAUAAACACUGGAAUAGUGAACAGAACAUACAAGACAGGAAAGGGAGCUUACAACUUCAGAUCUAGUUGUACAACAUACAUAAAAGCAGAAGAAGAACAAAAGCUUUGCCUAAUCGCUAUUAUACAUCAGUUUUUCUUCAAGAAACCUUGAGCCAUCUUCAAGUAAUCACCAUACCCACCUUCAGAAUGUCCAGCACCACCGCUUGACUGGGUUGACGACUGGGUGGCGGCGCCGCCGGUUGCUGAGUGGGAAGAACUGGUUGUGGUGGUGGUGGUGGUGGAGGAGGAUUGAUACUUGUGGAGAUAAUUCUCAGCCUUCUCUACAUACUUGCCAAAACUUUUCUCCUCAAGCUUGCCGUAGUGAGAGGCAGCUCCAAGAAGAUCAGCUGCAGCACCAGCAACUCUGCCUUUGUCUACCUUGUGAGUUUCGUUGUUAAGUGAAGCUUUGGCUGCCUCAGCCACCAACUUGGCGCUGGAAAGAAGCUCAGAGGAAGAUGGUUGGCGGUGCUCGGUGGGUU
RNAcentral lists this long non-coding RNA (46771 nucleotides) under Manihot esculenta (cassava). RNAcentral describes it as "long non-coding RNA (MESC_LNC000108)". The record is from RNAcentral. Lineage: Eukaryota; Viridiplantae; Streptophyta; Magnoliopsida; Malpighiales; Euphorbiaceae.